This 49518-nucleotide long non-coding RNA is filed under the name Solanum lycopersicum (tomato). Its description in RNAcentral is "long non-coding RNA (SLYC_LNC000568)". Lineage: Eukaryota; Viridiplantae; Streptophyta; Magnoliopsida; Solanales; Solanaceae. The record is from RNAcentral.
AAACUGUUCCAAACAACAAUUUCCCCAUUCCCAACUUUCUAUAACUCUCUCUGAAGUAAAGACUUUCAAAAUAAAAUCCUGGCUUGUCAUUGAAACAUGAAUAAUUCGCGUAAAAGAAAGCAUAUCCUGCAAUGUAAGCAUCACUCUUAUCAUCAUAUUUGGAUCGGAAUUCCUCAACUUCUCCCUCUACGACUGGGAAUUUAAGGUCAAACGUUGUAAGGACAGGCUUGAACCCUUCGUCAGUAGUAUUUUUAGGUUCGUCAAAAGGGGUUGGAGAGACUUCAAGUAGAAGUACUGAUGGACCGUAGAAAAGUGGAAGAGGGUUUUCCUUAAAGAGCAAAUUGGCUAAGGAAGACUCAGUAGCUUUGUAUAAAUGAGUAUAGUUAUGGUAUACAUGGAUUUGGUAAAACAAUUUGUAUAUAUGAGAAAGAUCAGAUUUUGUAGCAAGACGGACUCGUGUGUAUAUCUUUCCAGUGAUGGUAACGUCCGAUGAUGCAUCGCUGGUUAUUGAUUGUUGAAGAGCAGGAGCCAUGAGAAAGUGUUUAGUUAAAUUUGAGAGGAUUGAAAUUUAAGAUAAAAGAAAUGUUGAAAGGUUUAGUAAUGGGAUAAUAUUGUGUGUGUUUGGGAUAAUAAUAGUAAUUAUUUAUAGUGGAGAUUUUUUUAAAAAAAUAAAUAAUUAUUUGGUUAGUGAGGUUCAUGGAAAUAGGUUCCAAUGAAAAAAAAAAAGUUGGUGGAGACAAGUGUGCGUUCUAUAUCUAUUGACUGGGUCGGCUGAAGGGUCAAAUCAUUGAUGCCUUUAGUCUCAAAUUUUGUUUUUUUUUCUUAUAGAAAAAAAUAGUAGCUAGGAUAAUAUUUUUUGAGUUACCCAUCAAAAUUUGGCCACCAUUAAUUUUUUAAUGUAAUUAUGAUUAACUACUUUUUAAUAAUAAUUGUAAUAAUAAUAAAAUGGAUGGAACAAUAAUCAUGUGUAAAUAUUGUACUGCUGGAGUUUAAACUUUGACAAGUGGAACUUAAAAAAUAAUUUACUCAAAUAAACUUUCACCAUUUAAGCUUAAAAAUUGAAUAAAAUUUUAAUGAUUCGAGGAAUUCAAAUUUUAAUCAAUAAUAAUUCAUGAAAUUUCAAAUGAUAAAUAUUUCCCAAUUUUUUUGAAGCUUCAAUAAAUUGUACUUACCCUUUUUAGCCACCUAAUAUUUGUCAUCAUUAUUUCUUUAAAGACAAAAAUUUGUUCCUUCUAUACCAUGAAACAAAAGAAAAAAUUAGAGAAAAAAAGAGGGUUUUUUAACCAAACUAAGCCAUCAUAUAAACUCAUUCAUCAAAAUAAUAUGUUUUUCUAAAAUUUUACAAAGUAGUAUAAAUGUAUUCCACAGUAACGUUUUAGGAUAUAUUUUAUUUUUAAAAAGUUAAUGGCGUCAGAUUGAUAUACGUUACUUUACUCACAGUGACGUUUUACUUUUAAAACGUUACUCACAGUAAUGUUUUAGGAGUAAAACGUUACAGAAAAUAACGUUUUAAAAGUAAAAUGUUACUUACAAUAACGUAUAUCAACUUAAUGUUGUUAGUUUUAAAAAAAUAAAAUAUACCCUAAAACGUUACCGUUAAAUACGUUUAUACUAGUUUUGUAAAAUUUUAGAAAAAUAUAUUAUUUUGAUAAAUUAUUUUAUAUAAUAACUUAGUUUGGUUAAAAAUUAAAAAAACGAGUGGGAGUACACGGUGCAAUAGAUGGGUUAGCUUGGACCAUGCAAAAAAAAAAAAUCAUUAAAAUGUUAGCAAUAUUGUACGAAUAAACUGACUAUUCUUUUAACAUAAUAAAAAUAAAUAAAGAUUUUGACUUUGUAUGAAGGUAGACUUUCACCAUCCUUACACUACCAUGUUUCAAUGAAUUAAUUUAACUUCACACAACUUAAAGAAAAUAAUAAACUUUUUUGAUCUUCUAAUUCUAAAUUAAUAUAAUGUUAAAUGUAUCGCAAUGUUCUUUAAUUUUAUAGCCUUAAAUAUUCUACAUGAAAAAUUAAAAUUAAAAUAUUAUCAAAAAUAAAAAAAAAUUAUUCUUUUUUUUUAGAGGAAGCAAUAAAUAACAAUAUCGUUGUCGACGAUUUCAGCAAUAUGGAUGAAUAUUCUAUGGAUCACACAAAUGAUGUGUAUAAGUCAAGUGAAGUCGUCAACAUUGACAAUGAGUAAUGUUUACCAAGAUGCAUGAAAUUUCAACAAGGAUAAUAUAUAAGAAUCCAUAUAUAUUCACAUUGAAAAUGAACAUGCUUUAGAGAAAAUUAUUUUUCAUCUUAAAUGAACAUAUUUAUGAAUUUUCCAGGCACAUAUGUUUGCGAAAAUAGCUAGUCAAUCACGCAAAUGUGUUGAACAUUUAAGACAACGACAAUUUAGUGGGUGUGUUAAUUGAACAUAUAACAAGUUAAAAAAUUAUAUCAUAAUUUACAAAUUAAUUUUUUAUUAUUUAUUUCGAUAAUAAAGAACAAACUUUUUACAACUAUUUCAUCAUAUUCGUUUUUUUUUAUCGAUAAUUUUCAAUAUUUUUAAAAACACAUGUAAGAGUUACAAGUAGGGGUGUACAUGAUGUGGUUGGUUCAAGUUUUCCAAAUAUCGAACCAAACCAUUUGUGUUGGAUUGUUGAAUUUAUAAACCAAAUCAAACCAACAAAAAUUGAUUUUUUCAACUUUGGGAUUUUUUAAGGUUUUUUUGGAUUUUUGGGUUUAAAGUAUUCGUACAGACAUAUAAUUUACUUGUAUUUCAAAUUUUUCGUUAGACCAACCAAAAUUCAACUAUCUAAGUUAUUUUUCAAGAAAAUAACAAAAAAUAAGAUAUGAUUAAUGACACUAAAAUAUCCAACAAAAUAAUAAUAAUAAUAUCGCGUAAAACAAAUAUUGCAAAUUAAUAAGUCAUAAUGAAAUUGAUCAUAACUUAAAGUACUAAAUCAUGCUAAAAUAAGUUUAGUAAGUAUUAGUUACAUGACUAAAUAUUAAAAGAAAGUAAAAUUAGAUCAUGUAUUUUAAUUGUCUAAAUAUAUGUAAAACUAAAAAAUAAAUAUUCAAUAAUCAUUGUUAGUGUUGAAUUGAUUUUUUUUUUGUAUUAGUAUUAAUUUAUUUUUUAUUUAAACUUUAUUAUAAUUACCAACAUGUAUGGACUAUAAUCCUUAUUAGAUCAUUAAGAAUGCUAACUUCCAAAUAUGAAAUAAUAUAUUAAAAGAUAAAAACCAUGAAAAAGUAUAAAAGAUAUUUAAAAAUUGUAUCAAAGUAAGUAUUUUUAUGUAUAAAAUAAAAUUCUAAAAUUAUAUAGAUAAUGUCGGGUUGAUUUGUUCUCGGGUUGAGUUUUUUUAGUUGACACCAAAUCAAUUCAAAUAUAGUCGAAUUUUUUUCCAACACUAAACCAAGUCAAACCAAACUACUGAUCGAAUUUUUUUCAAUUUACGAUUUGAUUCGAUUUUGUACACACUUAAUAAAAGUUAGAUCAUCAUAUUUGUAUAACACAUACAUUUUUGUAGUUUUUGUACUAGUUAAAAGAUAAAGAAUUAGUUGAACGCGAAAGAUGAUACUGAUAGUAAUACAUCCGUAAAUAAAAGAAAAAAUAUAUCUAUAUUAUCUUAUAACUUGCUUCUAUAACUCGUUGAUAGCUUACUACCAUUCAAGAUGAACUUUUGACUUGUAGUUGAUUUAUCCCCCUAAGCCCGAAAUGAAAACUUUAGAAUAAUAAUAUAUCAUUAGACUAUCCUAUAGUUUUAUUUAUCUCUGGAGAACUUAUUUAGCAUAAAUCCUAUUAGAGAUAUCAAAAUAAAUAUUGGAUACUAGGAUGAUAUAGUUUUAAUAAGACAGAAUAUAUGGAGUCCCCUUAAACUUGUACCUUUUAUAUAUACAUAUAUAUUAAUAAAUCAUGGCCUAGCUGUGUUGUAUUUCAUAAAAAAAGGUGGAACAUGAGGGGAAUCGAAGUUUAUCUUCAAAAUUAAAUUUGUACUUGUUUUCUAAAUAUUGCAAAGGAAUAAACAUAUAUCUCUCCUAAUAAGUAAAGUCCAAAAAUUAGUAAAUCCUACCCCAGAAACAAAUGAAAUACAACUAUCUCCUUUUCACUUUCGAGCUUCCCGAUUUGUCUUUUUUAAUACUGGACGCAAGUGAUAAUUUAUUUAAAUUUAAAGGAGGACGAGAGCUAAAAGAAAAGUUGACAUAAACUAACGGGGUAUUCGUUGUUAUUUAUUUUAGGUGAAUGGGUAUUUAUUGAAUUAGCUUGGAUUAAGCUAUGAAAUUAUAAUUAAUUCAUAUUUUAUGGUAGUUUCCCCCAAAUUCUAAGCGUCUCUAUUGACCAUUUCCCCCCCUUUUAAUUAUUUUCACGUUAGCAGACAAGGAAGGCAUGCAUGCAAAUAGAAUGUAGUAUUAUUUUACCCUAGACCAAAUUAAAGUGGUUAAAGAGAGUAGGCGUUAAGCCAUCUAAUUUAUUUGAAAUUCGCUUGCAACGGUAAUAAUGAUCUGAUUUUCAAAAAGUCGUUAUUUUUUGUUUUUCAAACACUGAAAAAAUUUUCCUUCGCACUGUAAGCAUUUUCUCUCAAAAACAAAAAGUGUCGAUCGGAUGAGUCUGUAUGUGACUUGUUAUGUUCGCUGAAGUUAUUGAAGUUUGAGGUAUCACUACUUCUUUAACAGGUUAAUCUGUUUUAUCUUAGAAAAAAUUAAUAAAAAAGGUGAAACAUAAGGGGAAUCAAAUUUUAUCUUCAAGAUUAAAUUUGUACUUGUUUUCUAAAUUGCAAGGAUUCUAUUACUGUAGAAUAUUAUUUAAAUUCACAAUAAAUACAUUAUUGAGUAUUAUUAAGAUUUCUUAUUUAAAAAUUAAUCAUUAAUUAUUUUACAAUUGGAAAGCUAAACAAAGUUGCUACAUAUCUCUAAACCGAUAUGGCGACUUUUAAGGGACUGCACCAGUUGGACUAAUUCCAAAGACCCAAAAUUAUACCAUUGAACACACUUUCCUUUUUUAAACAUAAUUCCAAACAUUUGGGAAGAAGAUGAUGUUUGGCUCAAAAAAAUUGUAAUAUUUUUAGUUAUGCAAAAACUAAUUUUAUUAAAAUCAAAUAUAAGCUAUCAGGGCAUCUUCAACCCAAAUUUAGUGUCAAUAUCAAAUUUAAUGUAAUCAACUUCAAGUCAUUGCAUGAAAUUUUACGCCAACAAUUUUUUUUUCUCUCUCUCUUUAUUAUUUUAUUAUUAUUUCUUAUCUCAUAAAAAAACUCUUUCUAAAACAAUCAUAUAUAAGUACACAUUAAAACAAAAACAAUUUUUAGCGGCAUUAAAUAUUGACAUUAGUAAAGAGUGCUAAAGUCUUUACCGGCAUUAGUUAAGUGUCAUUAGAACCAACUUUGCUAAAACCUUUAGAGACAUAUACAAAAAGUAUCAAUUGCCGCUAAAAAUACAUAUUUAGUUCUUAAUUGCCACUAACAAUCAUUUUUGUUGUAGUGACAUUGUAUUAUUUGUUUAAAAAUUUAUAUGUUCGUAUUUUUAAUUUUUGUGAUGGUUAAUUAUAGUUUAUAUAAUUUAUAGUAGAAUUAAAAUAUUUUUAAGUUUUUAAAAGUGUCAUAUAUAGGAAAAUUAAUUUAUAAAAAGCUACAUUUUAUAUCUAAAAUGAAUAUUACAAAAAUAUUACAUAAAAAAUAACUAAAUAUACAAGAGAUUUAAUUUAAAUACAUAAUUUAUAUAAUAUUUAAUUAAAAAUUUGUAUAAUAAAAUAACAUUAUAAUAUUUAAAAAGUUAUUUGAUAUAAAAAUUGACGCGAAUGGAAGUUUAAAAUACUAAAUUUUACAUCAAAUAUAAAAUGUAAUGUAAAUUUUAGUGUUGGAUCGGAGAUGGUCUCUUUCGAGGGAUGAGAUAAGAGAGAAAGGAAAAAAGUUUCAGCAAAAUUCAAAAAUUAGUAAAUUCUACCCAGAAACCAACGAAAUACAGCUAUUUCUUUUCCCCUUUCCAGCUCACUCUUCUAAUACUCUAAGCAAGUGACAAUUUGCCUAAAUUUGAAAGGAGUGAAGGCUAAAGGGAAAUUGGCCUAAACUAGGGGGCGGGGGCAACUGAGGGAUGUAGAUCGAUACUAUUUUGUCGAAAAAUUAUAUGGUAUAAUUAGAUAAUAAUAUAUUCUUUAUGUAUAUAUAUUACAUAUUGAUACUCUUUGAUUCUACACAAUUGAACUUUUUUAUAUUUUGACACUCCUUAAUUAAAAUUUUGGCUCCGCCAUUGAGGGGUUGGAAGGGGGGAGGGUGUUAUGGAUUGCACCUAUUUUAGUAGAAUAGGUUUGCUGAAUUAAUUUCGAUUGGGCUAUGAAAUUUAAUUAGAUGAGGAAAUUGUAUGAAAUAGUAAACUAUCAAUUCAAAUUAAAUAUUAUAAUCGUAGUUUAUUUUUAUUUGUAAUUCGGAGCAAACAUCUAUUUUUUUGUCAUAUGUUUUGGUAUAUAAUUAGUCAUUUUUGGUAUACAAUUAGUCAUUUCAUAUAUUUCGGUAUAAAAUAUAUAAAAUGUGUUUGUGUUUAUAAAGCGAGAAAAUAGUGUAUAUACAAAUAUAAAUACGUAUAUUUUCGUCCUAUACACUUAUGAUUAUACAAAUACAGAUCUUAUUACACUACAACAAAAACAACUUUCAGCGGCAUUAAAUAUUAACACUAAUAAAGAGUGCUAAAGUCUUUACCGGCAUUAGUUAAGUGUCAUUAGAACCAAUUCGCUAAAGGCUUUAGGGACAUAUACAAAGAGUGGCAUUGCACUAAAAAAUCAUAUUUAUUAAAUGCUGCUAAUGGUCAUUUUUAUUGUAGUGUUAUACAAGGGAAAAAAUUAUGUGUUAAGCAAACUUAUACUAUUUAGUUACCAUCAUACCUACAGUUUGCUAUAAUUACCACUCGCGACUAACAUUAUACACUAAUUACGUAGGUUGAUUACGAAUUUGUAUAAUUAGUCACGUUUGCAUAUGUAUAAUUCGUCACAUUUGUAUAAUUCACACCUAACUGUUCUUUGUUUGAUUUGUAUUUGUAUAUGACGAUGAUUUCCUUUUAUUUUUUAUUUUUCCAUUAUACAUUCAAUCUUCUUGUGUAUAACUUUUGAAAAUUUGUAUAAACAUGUAGUUUUUGAAUUUUGUAUAAUAUAUUUUGUAUAAUUGUUUAUGUUUGUAUCAGUUCUUUAUUUUGAGUUUUAUUAUAUUUGUAUAAUUUCAGACUUUAUAUUACUCAAUUAUAUAAAAGUACGUGAAUUAUACUCGAAUUAUACAAAUUAUUGUCCUCUUUUGCUUGUGUUUCUCCUCCGUCUCUAAAUCUCGCCCGCCUCUCACCUUCCUCUCCCAAUCUCGCUCACCUCUAUCCUCCAUCUCCCAAUCUUGUUUGCCGCCUCUAUCCUCCCUUUCUCAAACUCUCUCACAAGAAUAUACAAAUACAUAUGUAUAAUAUAUAAUUAUCUAACCGAUAUACUAUACAAUCACUCCUCUCUCACUCUCUGCCCUCUCUCGCUGAUCUCUCCUCCCUCUCCUAGUCUCACCCGUCACUCUCCUCCCUAUAAUGUGUAGCUACGAAUAUAAUUAGAAAACUAUAUUUAUAAAGUGUAAUUAGACUAUUUUUGAAUGAUUAUAUGAGAAAGUUCCUAUAAAAGAAAAAAUGAACAUGGCCCACUAUUCAAAGUAUCAAACAAACAUAUAUAGUAGCCUCACAUAAUUUUUCGUUGGAAAAAUUACCUAACUAUAUAUCUUUUUUUACCCUAUUUUCUAUUAUUCUCUACCAUGUCAAAAAUUUACAAAAAUCUCAUAUUUUUUUUCAAACUCUCUUAUUUUCAGAUACAUAACUUUCAAUCUUCCAACUCCACUAUAUUCUUCCCUUUUUCAUGCAUAUUAUCGCACCACUAUAUCACUAAUUACCUUCAUCACUCCUUUAUUUUGAAUUUCAAAUAUGUGAUCUCUCAAGUUAAUGAUUUAAAGUUAAUCAAAAGGUAUCUUUUCUUUCUAGCUCUUUUUUAUGGGAAAACACGAACAAUAGGCUCAAUUUAUUGACUAUGUAUCAUAUGUUUGUUAGGUAUGUGCAUUAUUUUUUUAUAACUAAAUCAUUAUUUAUCAAAUUCAUAUUUUUUUUGUUUAAGAUACAUAGGUACGUCAAAUUAUAUGGCAUGAUAUAUAAAUAUUAAUUUAUACUAUAUGUAUCGAUCUCAAACCAUAUAAUUUAUCGGCAACAACUACAUGUUUAAUGUAUCAUGUAACAAUAAAUACUUAUCAAUUUAAAUGAGUAAUACAUAUACAUAGCAAUGUAUCACGCACUAAUUUUUUUUAGAUAUGAUAUGUAAAUUCAAAUUUAUACUAAAUGUAUCAAUUACAUAGUAACUGUUAGGCGAUAAUAUAUCUAGUAUAUAAAUAAAAUACUUAUCAAUUAAAAUGAGAUACAUAAAUUGUAAUGCAUAAUGCACUAAAAUUUUUUUAAAUAUGAUACGUAAAUUUGAACUUAUACUAAAUGUAUCGAUCUUAAAUCUAACAUCCCUUAUAGGCACAAUUAUUCAUUUAAUGUAUCUAGUAUAAAUAUAACACUUAUCAAUUUAAACAAAAUAUAUAGAUAGUAAAAUACUAAGAAACAAAGAUAUUCAUGACGUAUCUUCUCAAAAUUUUUGACAAUUUUUGAAUCAAAAUUUAAAGAAAUUUCAACAAAGUAGGAGAAAAAAUUUGAAUCUCAAAAUUUUCAACAAUUUUGAUCUUCGAUAUUCUGGGAGAAGAAAAUUCUUGAAUCUAAUUUUUUUUGACAAUAUUGAAUCAAAUUGAAAGGAUCUUCAAUGAACUUGAAGAUUCAAAAGGUAAUCGUUUGUUCAACAACAGUUCUAUCACUUUUGUAUCCUUCAUUACUGAUCUCACUUACCCAAAAUUUGGACAAUAUUUUUAAAAUCAAAUCUGAAAGAUUUCUUCGUUGAAUGGGGAGAGAAAUUUGAAAUUUUGAGUUUCUUCGUUAUGAUAGGAUCUGCCUUUGGAUGAUUGAGAGUAAGAAGAAACCCAAGUAUAAUUUAUGAGAUUUAAUUAAUUUCCAAAUUUUAUUCUCUUUUUAGCGCAACAAAAAGAUUACUCUUGUACUAGAAUUUUUGUAUCGGGAUAGUGACUUAUGUAUACAAAAGAUACAAAUUUUAAAAAAUUAUUGUAAUUACAAAAAAGUUUAUUGAAUGUAAUUUAUUCUUUACAGAGAUUUAUGUAAGUUAUAUUAAUUUUUUUUAAGUUAACGGAUGCAUAUGGGUCUGUUUGGGUGCAAGAGAUGUUUUAGCAUGGAUCAUGCACAAAAAAUAAAUGGAGAAAAUUGUAAAUAACAAACUGUUAAUUCAAAUUAAAUGUUAUAACUCAAUUUCUUUUGAUUUUAAUUCGUAGCAAAUACUUUGUCAUUCGUCUCUAUCCCUAGAAAUCUCGCUCGCCACUUUUCCUCGUCUCUCUCAUUUUAUACAAACACAAGUAUAUAAAUUGUGUUUGUAUAAAGCGAGAGAAAACUCUCUCUCUCUCUCUCUCUCUCUCUCUCUAUAUAUAUAUAUAUAUAUAUAUAUAUAUAUAUCUUUGUCCUUUACGCUUAUAAUUAUACAAUACAAAUUUUUAUCUGCUCAAUCGCUUUUGUUUUCGCUCUUUCUCGUUUUAUACAAACACAAAUUAUAUAUUGUAUAAUUUGUGUUUGUAUAAACUGAGAGAGAUUUGAUAUACAAAUACAGUUGUUUUUACUCGAUUUAAUUGUAAACGAAUUCAAAUUUUAUGCAAAUAUACAAACUCAAAAGAACAUGUACAUAUACAAAUGUAAUUUUCAUAGAAACAGACACUUGAUUUAUACAAAUCGAUGCAAUUUAUAAAAAUCAGAUGCCUGUGAUUUUAUACAAAUCAAAAUUGCAUGUGAUUUUUAUACGAAUCUGAUGCUAUAUGAGUUUUUAUUAUUUCAAAACCUAAAAUUACUUUAAAAAAUAUAAUUAAAAUGUUAACAAUAUUUUAAGAAUAAAUUCUUCUUAACAUAAUAAACAAAGAUGUUGAAUUUGUAUGAACAAAGACUUUCACCAACUUCAUACUUCUAAGAAUAAAAAAAUAUUAUCCUUGUUGACAAUUUCAGCUAUCUAUCUAUAUAUAUAUAUAUAUAUAUAUAUAUGGAUAAAUAUUCUAUGGACUACAUAAAUGAGGUGCGGAAGUCAAGUGAAGUCGUCAACAUUGACGAUGAGUAAUGUUUACCAAGAUGCAUGAAAUUUCAACAAGGAUCAUAUAUAAGAAUCCAUAUAUAUUCACACAAAAAAAAAAAAAAAAAAAAAAAAAAAAAAAUAUAUAUAUAUAUAUAUAUAUAUAUAUUCACACUGAAAAUGAACAUGCUUUAGGGUGUGUUUGGUUAGAAUGAAAUGUUUUCCAUAGAAAAUAUUUUUCUAGAAAAUAAAUAAAUUAUUGAUUUAUUUUUUCAUAUUUGGUUGAUGAUCGGUAGAAAAUAUUUUCUAAAAAAUUUUUAUAGUGCUUGAUUUAUGACUGAAAAAUACUUUUCAGAAAAUAUCUUUUAUUUUUACUAAAAAAUAUAAAAUUAUUUUUGAAUUAAAAUUGAAAAUAUUUUUAAAAAAUAAAUCAAAUUUUUUUAUGAAAAAUUUAUAAUUUGAAGUUGGAGAAAAGUCUUGAAAAGUUUUUUCUUAAUUUUUGAAGAAAAGUCAUUUUCCUUUAAUUUUGAGGAAAAUGAAUUAAUUUGGAGAAUAUUUUUUAAAAUCUUACCCAACUAAACAUGAAAAUAUUAAAAAACAUUUUCCUUUCGUACCUACAUAAAAUUAUUUUCAUUUUAAAUAAACUUAUUUAUGAAUUUUCCAGGAAUAUACGUUUCCGGAAUACGCAAUUUGUUGAACGUUUUACGACUAACGACAAUUUUAGUAGGCCUGUCAAUUUUGUAACCGUCUCAUCAUGUGUUUUUUUUUUUUUUAAUAUAUAUCAAUAUGUUUCGAUUAAUUUAUAAUAUUUUUUAAAAUAUCACGCAAAAGUCACAAGUGAAGGUUAGAUUAUGAUAUUAUACAACACAUACAUUUUUGUAGGAUUUGAAUAAAAACUCUUCUAAAUUUUUUGUAUGGAUUAAAAGGUAAUGAUUUAGAAGAACUCGAAAGAUGACCAUGAUAGUGAUGCAUCCCAUAGGAGUAUCUACUAUCUUAUAACUUGCUACUUGCUGCUAAAACUCGUUCAUAGCUUACUACCAUUCUAGAUCAACAUUCAUCCCCAAGCCCAAAGUGAAAACUUUAACAACUAGGGCGUAUGUUUAAUAGGAAAUGAAAAUAUUUUUUAAUUUUCUCAUGUUUAAUUGUGGUAAAUAUUUUAAAAAAUAUUUUAUUUUUUUUAAAAUUUAAAAAAAAUAAAUUAAGAAAAACAUUUUCCAAACUUUGUUGUAACUUUAAAUUACAUUAUUUUUUUAUUGAAAAAUUUAAUUUAUUUUUGUCCCUAUCCUCAAACCAGCCCUCCCCCCUCUCCCCUCCCAAAAAAAUAAAUAAAUAAUUUAGAGCUUGUUCUUUUAAAAAAGUUUCACUUCAAUUUUUUAUCACACCCCCCCCCCCCAAAAAAAAUAUAUAUUUCAAAAAUGUAAAAAAAUAAAAGAUAUUUUUGUAAAAUGAUUUUUCAUUUAUAAAUCAAAUACUAAAAAUCUUUUUUGAAAAAUAUUUUCUAUUCACGAAUCAGACAUGAGUAAAUAAAUCAAAAAUUAUUUUCCUUCGUAUCAAAUACACCCGCAACGUAUCAUCGGAGUAUCUCUUAGCUUUUUUCUUCUCUGGUGAAUUAUUUAGCACAAAUCUGAUUGGAGAUGUCAAAAUAAACACUGGAUACUAGAUAUAUAUAUCGUUUUAAUGAGACAGAAUACAUAGAUUCCCCUUGGAUUUGUACCCCUUCUUAAAAAAUAAAAUAUUAAAAAAGCUAUGGCCUAGAUUUGUUGUUUUUUUUUUUUUUUGGAUAAGUGGAACAUGAGAAAGACCGAACCUUAUCUUCAAAAUUAAAUUUGUACUUGCUUUUUUUUAAAAAAUAAAUAAUUGAAAAGGUCCUAUUAACUUAUAUAAUUACUCAAAUUCACAAUAAAUACAUCUAUUUCAGUCAUUUUCAUUGCAACUGUGUUCUCACGAAAGUUGAGUGCAUGAAGGAGUAAUAAUACAACCUUAAAUCAGUGUAAAAAUAUCACAUGAAAAUAUCAAUUUGAUUUUUUAAUUAAUAAAUCAGACACAUAUUUCCAUCAUCCUCAAAUCACCAUUAAAACCUUUAAACAACUUCAAAUCACCAUUAAAACCUUUGUACGACUUCCUCCCAUACGUAGAAAGACUUGUCAAAUUAGACUUUCCCUAACCGAUUAAUUCAUCUAGAUAUGUACUUGAGACAUAUUUCCAUUUAGAUAUGUGAUAUUUUCAUUUUUCGAAAGUCAAACAGUUUAAUUAUAAUCGGAAAUUUGCGUAUAAAAUUUUCAAAUUUUUUGACAUAAAAUUUAUAUAUUUAUAAACUACGUAAAGAAUACUAUAAGUCACAAUAAUUGAUAAUUCAAAAUGUUAAAAUGAUUUAUGAAAAAUUUACUUUGAAAAAUAUGCUUAAUUAAAUUUUGAAAUGCGACAAAAAAACGAGACGAAAAGAGUAAAUUAUAAGCUACUCAAACUAAAAUAUAGUUAUUUUUUCUCUAUUUACAUGUUUGAUAAUAUUACUCCUAUAUCAAAAUCUCAUCCAUUUGUCCCUCUCAAUUUAUUUUGACAAAUAUUUUAUUAUUUACUAAUAUUUUUCAAGCACAAAGAUAAUACAACUGCUUUUAGAAAAAGGAAAUUGAUAAAUUACACAAUUAAGCAAAAAAUUAAAAAAAAAUAAAAAAUUAACAGGUCUCUUCCUCAGUUUUCCCCUUAUUAUGUGCAUACUUUUGAAGAUUUUCACCGUGCAACUUUCCAUACCUAAACUCGUCAAAAAUUUCAACUCCCAUAUUUAUGUAAAAAUCAUAUGACUUCUUAUUCCAAACUGCGAUUAUUCCAUCGACCGAUACGAACCCAUUGUUCGCAGCAAUGGACGAAACUGUUCCAAACAACAAUUUCCCCAUUCCCAACUUUCUAUAACUCUCCCUGAAGUAAAGACUUUCAAAAUAAAAUCCUGGCUUGUCAUUGAAACAUGAAUAAUUCGCGUAAAAGAAAGCAUAUCCUGCAAUGUAAGCAUCACUCUUAUCAUCAUGUUUGGAUCGGAAUUCCUCAACUUGUCCUUCCACCACGGGGAAUUUAAGAUCAAACGUUGUAAGGACGGGCUUGAACGCUUGGUUAGUGGGUUCGUUAAAAGGGGUUGGAGAGACUUCAAGUAGAAGUACGGAUGGCCCAUAGAAAAGUGGAAGAGGAUUUUCUUUAAAAAGCAAGCCCUCUAAGGAGGACUCAGUAGCUUUGUAUAAAUGAGUGAAGUUAUGGUAUUCAUGGAUUUGGUAAAACAAUUUGUAUAUAUGAGAUAGAUCAGAUUUUGUUGCGAGACGAACUCGUGUGUAUAUCUUUCCAGUGAUGGUAACGUCCGAUGAUGCAUCGGUGGUUAGUGAGUCAGAUAGAGAUGGAGAUGGAGUUGGUUGUUGAGAAGUAGGAGCCAUGGGAAUGAGAUAAAAUUAAAGGAGUAGGAGAAAAGUUUAGUAAUGGGAUAUUGUGUGGAAAUACUUUAGUAUCAUAAUGGUUAUUUAUAGUGGAGAAUUAAGUUGGCUCUUUUUUUAAAAUUCAUUUAUUUUAUUUGCUAGUGAGAUUAGUGGAUUUUCCAACAAAAAUAAAAUGGUUGGUGGAGGUCAACUAUAACGUGCGUUCUAUGGGGUCGAGUCAUUGAAGCAAUUGGUUUGGCCUUUGGCCACCAAUUUUGCUGUUUUGGGUCUCGGUUGUUUCUCAAAAGAAUUCCAUAGUGAUAUACUCUUUUUAAGUAGUUUUGAAACACUCUAAAGUUUUUCGUUAUUUCCUAAAUUAAUAUUCAGUAAAGUACUUCAUAUAAAAACUUGAGAAAAAAUAAUAAUAAUAAAAAUGAAGUUGGACUGAACCCUGGUUUAUAUAUAGUAUGGUUGGGGUUUAAAAUUUUGACUAGUAAAACUUCAAAAACAAUUUACUAAAUUUAAAUUUUUAGAGUUUAAGCAUAUUGAAUUUUGACAAGUAAUAUUGUUGGAUUGUUUGUUACUGUUAUAAAUAUAUAGAAUUAAGUGAAUUGUCCAUUAAGCUUAUCAUAAAUUUAUUCUUAUUAUGGAUAUAUAUUUUCAAGGUGAUAUGAACUUUUUUGAGAUACAAAUGUAUCUACUAAUGUCACAUUAAACAUGGUGACCUUUUGAUUGAUUUCUCUAUCUAUAAAUAGAGAUAUCAUUCACCAUUGUAAUAUACACUUGAAGAAGAAAAUUCAUUUUCUUCUAUCUACUUCUCUUGUCUUCUUCUCUUUAUGAUUAUAUUCUUAUGAGAUUGAUUUAUAACACGUAUUAGCACGAGUAUAUAGCCAAUUAAGAUUGAGUUUUUUAGUUUUUCUUUAACUCAUUUUUUGGUUGAUCUUGUUAUGAGAAUCAAGGUAUUAUAUCCAUAAAAUCAGGUAUUUAGUUUCUAAAAUAUUUUUACGAUUUAGAAUAAAAUAGUAUUUAGUCACUAACAAUUAUCAGAAUUCGAAGACAUAUCCUACUAUUGGUUGAAUAUGAUAUGCUAUACAAAAUUUCUUAGAUAGAAGAAGGUAUAAAAAUUUAAUAGCAUGAGUUUGAAUAUUAUUUUGAUUGUUUUGAAAGACUCAAAGGGUGAGUCAUGUUGUACUUCGGUCUAUUAUACCGUUGGUUAAGGGUAAGACGAUGGAUUCAAGUCUCAUCGCACCAAAAAGGGUAAGACAUCAGGUUAAGUCUAGAUGCACAUAAUGAAAAAUAUUUGAUGAUAAGACGAUAGAUUCAAAUUCUAUCGCACCAAGAGGGUAAGACAUCAAUUUUGAUGCACUGUGAUAAUAAUGUAUUGGGUUCAAGUUCCAUAGAAUUAUGACCUAUGUGCCUUAUAUGGAUAAGACAUUGAGUUUGACUCUCAAUGCACCAUAGUGGUGAUAAAAUGAAGAUUAAGGCAAAAAUAAUAUAUUUUUGAUGAAAUGUCUUGAAAUUCAUCAUAUUGAUUUUGCUCCAUUUCUUGAAAAGAAUGUGGUAGCAACAUGUGAUAAUUUUGAAAUCCGCCUGUUAACUUGCUCCAUUCAAUCAUAUGAAUAUGAUAGCAGUGAAUAAUUAGUCCGAAAGAUGACAAAUAAUUAAUGAUAUGAAUAAGGGCGUGGAGGGACAGAAUUAUAAUAGUCAUCAUUGUGGUAAUUAUAAAAGGAAGAACACUAUGGAUUCUUUAAAUAGUCCUUCAAAAUGUGAAGACAAUUUUUAAUUUGAUAAAAACUAAAAUUCAACUUAAUUUUUUUGUAAUAAAUGUUUAAACUAAUUUUUCUAUAUUAAAUAAUUUUAAUAUUAAAAGUAUAUUAGCACUCGCCCUUAAUCGUAAUUUGAUUUUCAAAAACACAUUUUUGAAAAAAAUAAUAAUCAAACAUAAUUUAUUUAUAAAAAUUACUUUUCAAAUCAAUUAGGUAAAGGCGAAUUAUUUUUUUUUAACUCUAGGUAGGAGUGUUUUUUAUUUGGUUUGUGAUGGUGGAAUUUAAAAAAUAAAAUCGGAAGUCAAAGGUAAAAACAAAUACUAUUGUCAGGAUUUUAGAAAAUAUUGACUUGACAACCAUCAAAGUAUGAUAAUUAUUUAUUGCAAAAAAUGGGAUAACCUAUUAAACGGCUGUUUUGAGUUCUUCGUGUUUUUUCUUCCUCAUAUGCUCGAUUGUAAUUUUCUGCCUAUUUAAUUCGAUUCAUUAGAUAAUACUCUACUAUUACAUUGUCAUUUUACCUAUAGUAAUUCUAUUCACUAGAGUUAAUUUAGUCCUUUUCUUUUGUAAGAAAGUGACUUGUGAUGAGAACAUAUGGCAAUUACCUUUGUAGAUUUAUCUACAAUGUAUAAUAAAUAAUAUGACUUUGUUCAUAAUUGGAAUUUGUUUCUCCUAAUAGUUCUCCAAAGAUCAUUGUCAGUCAUCAUAUGUCCCUCAUAAAUUCCACUAAUUAUCUACUCCCUAAUUAAUCUUACUUUUAAAAACUGAUCUGAUUAUUACGCUAUAAAUGCUCGUGUUGGACCAGAAAAACGUCUGAGCUGCCUUUACUAGUAACACAUGAUAAGUUGAAAUUUGUAUAUGAUUUGCACUUACCUUAUUGGUGAGAAUGACCAAUAAUGAAAUAUAUAUGACGUUUUAAAAUAUAGUUGAAAGUGCAAAAAGAUUCCCGUAAAAUGCAAAUAUUUAUUAAAAAUUAGAUAUAAAUUUUAAGGAAACUUUAUGCAUUAUAAUAAGUAUUAAAAAAAAAGCAAAAAAAUAAUGUAAUUCCAAAACCUUUUUACAACUUCUUUCUUAUCUAAAAAAACACUUUUUAAACUAGAAAAUUAAACGUGGAUGCAAGACCUUUGUACAACGAGCGCAUUGAUUCAUCUAUAUAUAUACUAGAUAGGGUUGCAUGUGCUAAGCAUAAACAUUUAUAUUUUGUAAUGUUUUUGAUAACUCCGUUCUUUAAUUUUUUUUAUAUUAUCGCUUUUCAAACAACUUAUAAACUUCAUUUUAGAAUAAAAUUAAGAAAAAAUAUGAGCAAGUAUAUAAAAAGCUUGAAACUAAUUAAUUUUAUUGGUAUAUAAUUUACUAUUUGCUGAAGCAACAAUAAAUUGUAAAACAAGAAGUUACGUUAAAGCAAAAAAAUCACAAACUUCUACUGAAAUUUCUUAACAUAAUUUUUUGUUACAUAGUUUGUCACUUUAUUGGUUCUUCCGGUAGUUAUUUGGUCUUCAUAUAAUACAAGAUAUUCAACUCAAAUGAUACAAUAAAUAUUGAUCUUGCAUUUCACAAUUCAACAUACUCAUCUUGCUUUACUUAAGCUUGAUAUGAUAAAACAAAUUUAUCAUAACUUCAGCUGAAAUACAUCAACAACCUUUGCACUAUUUUUAGAUUGAACCCCAAAGAGAGGAUUAAGUAAUGAACUCCCAAUUCAAAAUGGAGUCUGACGAACUGAUCAAAUAUGUGUCAAAUAACAUUGAAAGGGAAAUUCUUUUUUAUUCUGUCACUAAUCCAUGGAAUGUAAGCCACAUUUCAUUACUAAUAUCUUUCGAAGCAAGUUUCAAAGCUGCAAAAAAACUAUAACAAAAAUAAUGUAGGACAUGCAUAAGUGCUAUAUUUUUGAAACAAUUCAAAAAAGAAGUAUGAGAAAACUUUAAACUAGCAGAACAGUUGUAUAGUAAAAUAUACAUUUUCUUACCGAAUUAGACUUGUUUCAGCAAUCCCUGCAUGAUAUAUAUUUCAUAGAAACUUCAGUUAAUUUCAAGCUAUAACUUCAUAUAAUUAUCAAUAUUUCGACAGAGCAGUAGUUUAUAUGAGUGAGAAGACAGUGGGUUGUUUCCUUCCUGAUCUUCUCUGUACAUGCAACUCCUAUUGUGGUAUUUUCAAUAACAUAUCAUUGAUGGAUAUUAAGAUAUAGUGCAGGCUACUUGAAACAAAAAGCCUACUAUUUAAGUAGAGUAGGAUAAUUUAACAAUAGUUUUCAAAAUUUACUUGUAAUAUAUUAAAUAUCAAAGAACAUUACCAUUGUAAACAUGAUUUUGACCGGCAAUUACCUGAAAGGCAACAACAAAAGCUCUUAUUUAGUGUGACAUUAGAUGAAUGAGUUAUGGUAAAAAUAGAGUGUCACCUUAAAGAACAUAUUAAAGUCUAACCUCAAGUAAAUAUCCAUCAAAUAUCUAUAACAAUAAUAAUUUAUCACAAUACAAUUAAACAACAUGUCAGUUGUCACACAUGUACGUUGUCCAACAAAAAGCUUAACAAAAAUUAAAUCCGGUAGAAUACAACAUGUUAGCCAUAUAAGAUCAAAAGAAAAACAAACAAUAUUGUAAUCAGGCAAAUAACAGUAACUUCAAUAAAAUGAUUGUGUUAAAAUGUUGUAUAUACAUACGGAAAUAAUCAUGCUAGCAAUAAUACAGAUACAUAGAUGUAGCUAAACUAUUCAUAGAAGAGGCGCUAGUCUAAAAAAAGACAAGGGAAAUACUACUUGAACAACUCAAAAUUUACUUAGAAAUUGACUAAAAUCGCAACUCAUAUAGUCAAGUUUGGUCAGAUACUGACACACAAACAUUUAUUUCUAUUAUACACAUAGAGGUAAUACCAAAAUUCAACAAAAUUAAAUUUGAUGUAAGAUUCAAUAGUUAUAGUCAUAGAUUUGUACAUUGUUCUCAACAUCAUUUCAUGUAAGGGAGCAGGGGAAUUACUAAACAAAAAUAAAGGUAUAGAUAGAAAAGACAACAUAAACUCAAAAUUAUUCUAGAAUAAUGAAGUAAGCUCAUAGCAUGAAUAGUCUAAGACAAUCCCAUAUAAAGAUCUACAUUGUAUAAGACUCUUAACUGAAAUUUUUAUUUUUGUUUAGAAUUUCAUUAGCAACUGCAUUGAAAUUACUUUCCAGUUAAAAGAAAAAAAAAUAUUCGUUAGUGAGGUAUCAAACAUUUUACAAUGUUCCAAAACUUUUAUUUAAGAGAAGAAAAAUGAAAAGGUAGUCGAUGUAGCUUGGUAAUGAUAAAAGUAUAAGAAAUAAUAUUUUUAACACUCUGUUAAACUUUACUUGUAUCGUUAUUCUAACAUAUGAUUUGAUAUCGAAGAUGCUGAAGCGAAGUCGUUAUUUUAAGUUGAAUUCGCAUGACCACAUUUAAAAAAUCAUAAAGCAUAAUGAAAGAAGGCAACACUUGUUAUUCUACAUACUGAAAAAGAAGAAUGGAUAGUUCUCGAGUAAUGCAUUGAGUGUAUUUGUUAGUAUAUAUUUACAUUUUUACCCUUAUUAUUCUACAUACUAAAAAAGAAACAAAUGGAUGGUUCUAGAGUCGGGCAGAGAGUGUACUACCUUUGAUAUAAUAAUAAUAAAAGGACAAAAUGUAUCUGAAAUGAGAAAGGAUAGUUUCUGAUUUGCUUAAAUAACAUUAUUUUACCUUUGAAAAUGAGUAUAUUUACAUUAUUGCCGGUGAUCCAUUGGCUCUUCUAUAUAAUUAAUAAAUUAAUAAUUAAUAAUUAAUAAUUAUAAAUUAUAAAUUAUAAUUAUAAUAUAAUAUAAUUAGCUUGAUGAAAAAUCAAUCAGAGUUGAGCCCAUAAUGUAGUGCUACGUAGGUCAAAAAGGGUAGAAAAUUAUUAAUAAAAUAAGUUCAGGAGAAAAUAGGACCUUAAUAUAGUAUAAGUAUGUCUCUAAAAUUUCGAACGUAUGUUACAGGGAUACUUAUGUAUUGUUCCUUUUUUUUUUUUCAAUUCUAGUUAUUAUAAUUAAUUGUUUGUUAGUAGAUUAGUGCUUUUGUUUGUAGGGAUGCAUUAUUUAAUUGUUAAUUUCAUUUGAUUAUUUCACUUACGUAUAUAUUGGAGUAAUUUAAUUAAAAAAUUUAAAAUAUUAUUUAUAAAAUGUGAAUAAUUUUUAAUAUAAAAUUUUGGACUUUUUUUUAUUAUAAUCUUCAAUAUUGUUCUAAAUGAAAUUAAAAUUAUUAUAUUCACCAUUAAAAUUUUUGCAGCUAAACAUAUAUUUUAUUAGUUUCAUCAUCACCUAAAACCAUAAUGUACUUUCUUCAAAAGUUAAAAUUUUGAAUAGCAAACAAUAAUUGUUUUAAUAUAACCAUAUGUGAAAUAACCCUAGAAUCAAAUAUCAAAAUCUAAUUUUGAAUAGAUAAUUAUAUAUGUUUAAAACAAACAAAUAAGGAAAAAAAUGAAAAAGAACAGACAAGAGUACAAAAUACAUACCAGAGAGAAGAGGUCGUAUAGCAACAAUUAAAUCAAAAAUAAAAAUUAGAACCCUAACUAUUAAAAAUAAAUUUGUUUGAAAAGUUUUUUAUUUAUAUUAGAACAAAAAUACUAUUUUCUAUUUAGAAAUCGCUAGAUGCGUAGAAGCUACUAGGCCAUUCACUUCACUUUGUUUGUAAGUUCGCAGGAAAUAUAUCUAUACUUUUUAUCUGAUAUUUCAAUAUGAAUAUAGAGUCUACGAAAAAAAUUUACAUACAAAAUUUAACACGUCAAAUCUUAAUCUAUUUUUAAAAAUCUUGCAGAGUCAACACUGCAAAUCAAAAUUCUAUUUUCCAGUAAAACAAAAGCAAUGGUCAUGUCACUUCAAACUUUGUAGUUGAACUAAACCUUACAGAUUUAUGCAUCUUUAUGGAUCAUAAGCUCUAACUAUGUAUUAUUAUUAUUAUGUAAGAAACAAUAAAAAUAAAACACCAAAGUAAUGGCUAGCAAUGACUUUUUAAAAAAAAAAACUGCCGCAAGGUGCUGAGACACCUACGCCUUGUAAGGCUCAAAGGUGGUUGAGCCUUACAAAGCUCAUGAUUUUUUGAGCCUUGUAAGGCUCAUGGGUAAAUGAACCUUAUCUUAAAAAAUCUAAUUUAAAUGGUGUUAGAGAAAAUUAUCCUUUUGAUAUCAUAAUUAAUUGAUUUGUUCUAUUGAUAUUAUAAAUCUAUAUAAUGUGUUUAAGCAUACUCAAGAAUAUGUAAAAAGCCCUUAAUAUAGUGCAUCAUAUUGUAAAGAAGUUCUACAUUAGUAGAGGGAUAAGAGAUUAAGUGGUCUCUUUAUAUGCAUUUUGACAAAUUUCCCUUACCCUCAUGAGCUAGUAAGUUAGAUGUAAAAUCUAAUUUAACUUGAUAUCAAAGUCAAGUCUAUUUCAAUAUUUGUUGUUCACCGAUGUAAUGUUGUGCCCCCAUUACAAGUGUUCACCUGCUAAGCACUGAGUUUGAGAUGAGGUGUUAAAGAGUGAUAAAAGUCUCAAAUUGGUGGUUAAUGAUAUGGAUGAACUCUUUAUAAGGAUUGGAUGAUCCUCCUUUCUUUAAGUUAGUUUUUGUCGUGUGAAUUAGAUUUAAGACCUAAUUUAACGUAUAUGUAUGCAUGUUCAUAACAUAUUACGUUAUUGUAUAUGUACCGGGGCAGCCAAACAUAUUAAGUUAAUUAGGAACGCAAUCACAUAUUUUCAGAAAAUCUAUUUAGUCGUUUAGUUGAUUAAUUAAUUACUUUAGCUUCAUAAUUUGCAUCGUCUGUCUCAUUUUUGUUGGACACUGGUUGAGAGUUCAUUCUAACAUUUUUGACUUCUUAUGGGCUAAGAGAGACGAAAUUACAAUGAGCGGUAAUUAAGGUUAUGCCCCUCCCUAUGUACUUUGAACUUACCUCUAAAUAUAGAAAGAUGUGAUUUUUUUAAAGUUAAGAAAAAUGUGAUUUUUUUUUUAAUAACUUAAAGAAGAAGAAGAAGAUCAUGUAAAUUGAAUAGAGGGGUUUAAUGUGAUAAUUAUCAAUUUAAAAUUUUCAAAUACAAAUUUAAUGAGCAUUCUGCUUUUACAAAAUUACAAAUAAGAAAUGUAUGAAUUGAACUUUCACUAUUUUUAUUAAAAGAAAACACACAGUAGCUAACAGCUGCCUUCGUUAUUUAUGUCCUAGUUAUGAGCAUACUUUUGAAGAUUUUCACCAUGCAAUUUGCCAUACCUAAACUCAUCAAAUACUUCAACUCCCAUAUUUAUGUAAAAAUCAUAUGACUUCUUAUUCCAUACUGCGAUUAUUCCCUCUACUGAUACGAAUCCAUUGUUGGCAGCAAUGGAUGCAACAGUUCCAAACAACAAUUUCCCCAUUCCCAACUUCCUAUAACUCUCCCUGAAGUAAAGACUUUCAAAAUAGAAUCCAGGUUUGUCAUUGAAACACGAAUAAUUCGCGUAAAAGAAAGCAUAUCCUGCAAUGUAAGCAUCACUCUUAUCAUCAUAUUUGGAUCGGAAUUCCUCAACUUCUCCUUCUACGACUGGGAAUUUAAGGUCAAACGUUGUAAGGAUAGGCUUGAACCCUUCGUCUGUAGUAUUUUUAGGUUCGUCAAAAGGUGUUGGAGAGACUUCAAGUAGAAGUACGGAUGGACCGUAGAAAAGUGGAAGAGGGUUUUCUUUAAAGAGCAAGUUGGCUAAGGAGGACUCAGUAGCUUUGUAUAAAUGAGUGAAGUUAUGGUAUUCAUGGAUUUGGUAAAACAAUUUGUAUAUAUGAGACAAAUCAGAUUUCGUAGCAAGACGAACUCGUGUGUAUAUCUUCCCAGUGAUGGUAACAUUAUUGUUUUCCGAUGAUACAUCGGUAGUUAUUGUCUCAGAUGGAGCAGGAGCCAUGGGAAAGUGUUUAGUUAAAUUUGAGGUUUGAGAUUAAAGAAAAAGUUGAAAGGUUUAGUAAUGGGAUAAUAUUGUGUGUGUUUGGGAUAAUAAUAGUAGUUAUUUAUAGUAGUGGAGAAUUUGGCUCUUUUUAAAAUUCAUUAAUUGGGUUGUUGAGAUGGCUUUUCCAACAAUUAAAGAAAAGGUUGGUGAAGGUCAACUCUGGUGGCGUGCGUUCUAAAGGGUCGAGUCAUUGAUGCAAUUGGUUUGGCCUUUGGUCCCAAUUUUGCUUCUUUUUUUUUUCACCCAAAAAAAAGUAGGGAUGAUAUCUUUUGAGUUAUAUAUAAAAAAUCGGCCACUAAUUUUAUGUAGUUGAUAAUAUUUAAUUGUGACAAUUUAUAUGACAAGUUUUAUUUUUAUUUAGUUCAAGAAUAAUGACUCAUUGCAAAACUUAAUAAUGAUAUCAAUAUUUUAUUCACGUUAGAUUCCACUUGUUUGGUAAAAAGAUUCAUAAAGGUACACUCUUUUAUAGAUUAUUUUGAAACAUUUUAAAGUUUUCCCUUUAUUCCAUGUACUUAAUUUUAAUUAAAUUACGUUAUAUAAAUUGAGAUGAAUGGGAUAUUUGUUAAUAAUAAAAAAAAAAUUGAACCGAACAAUUCUAGUUUAUAUAUAGUAUAGUUGGAGUUACAAAUUUUGACAAGUAAACUUUAAAAAUAAUUUACUCAACUCAAAUUUUUACAGUUUACGCAUAUUAAAAUUCAAUAUAAUUUUAAGUUUGAGAAACAAUUCAUAGCAUUCAGACGUUAAUAGUUUAAAUUAAUAAUUAAUUCAUGAAUUUUCAACAAAGAAGAAAUAUAGACAAGAAAACAAGUGUAUGCAUAGGACCAUGCAAAAUAUCAUAAAAAAAUUAAUUUUCAACUUCUUUAUCUUACAACUGUAAACAACUACGAAGGAACUGGAAAUUCUUCAAAAGUUAAAUGUUGAAUAUUUCAUCAAUAUUGAUAAUAAUCAUAUGGAUUCCAUAUAUGUGGCUUGAAAUUAGAGUCAAAUGAAAUCCGUCGAUAUUGACCAAAAUAUAUGAAAACUCAAUAAGGACGAUUUAUUAUAAGAAUCCAUAUAUAUUCACAUUGAAAAGGAACAUAUUUUACAGAAUUUUAUCAUGAAUUUUCGGGAAAUAAGUGUUAGGUUAUUAGCAUUUUAAUAUUAAUAUUUAACAUAUUAAAUUGCUUUAUUUUGGAGUUAUAAGAAUGAAUGACUUCUACAUCAUCCAUUAGCAUUGGUUAUCCAUCAAUUUAUUUCAUUCUUAAUUCCUCCAUUACUCCCUUUGUAACCUAUGUAACAUAUGUAACUCCCUUUGUAACCUAUGUAACAUAUGUAACUCCCUUUGUAACAUAUGUAACAUAUGUAACUUCCAUUGUAACUUAUGUAACCUAUGUAACUCCCAUUGUAACCUAUGUAACUCCUAAGGCCAUUAUCUUCACUAUUUACUACCUCCAUUAUCUUCCUAUUUAUUGCUAGGAAGACUUCUUGUAAUAUAAAUAGUGGUAGUCUUCAUUUGGUUUUAGAGACACAAAAAAUUCAUAAGAGAAAACAAAGAGUGAAAGAGUUAGGCUAAAGAGAGUUCUUAUUAGUUGAAGGGAGGUGUUCUUUUUUUGUGGAGCUUUGGACUCAACUCUUGUCCAGAGUUGUUGAGUUAUACUUUGUAAAGGCUGUUGUAUCCUGGAGGGGAGAUCUUGACAUCCGCGGUUUUUUCAAUUGUAGCCAUCUUUGAAUAGAUGGAAGGGUAAAGUACUUUUCUACUUAAGUCUUCUCAAUGUUUCUUACGUUUUAACCGAGAAGAAUCCAAAUAAAGAAGACAUCACUACUAUGAAUGAUGAUGAAACUAUUUCUCAUCUAGAGAAAGUGGAAAAGUACGAUGAUGAUUCUUAUAAGUGUCGGUAUUAUCUUCUUAAUUGUCUAUCUGAUAAUUUUUAUGAUUAUUAUGAUAGAACUUACUCUAGUACAAAGAAAAUUUGGAAGACAUUGCAGAGUAAGUAUGAUACCGAAGAGGCUGGAGCGAAAAAAUAUGCAGCUAGUAGAUUUUUUCGUUUCCAAAUGGUGGACAACAAAUCAGUGGUAGAUCAAGCUCAAGACUUCAUCAUGAUUGUCGGAGAGCUUAGGUCCGAAGAGGUUAAAAUUGGAUAUAACCUUAUUGUUUGUGGCAUAGUGGAUAAACUUCCACCUUCUUGGAAGGAAUUUCAAAAAAUUAUGCGUCACAAACAAAAGGAAACCUCUCUUGAAAGCUUGAUAAUGAAAAUCUGCAUGGAAGAAGAAGCAAGAGGCCAAGAUGCACUUUUACAAACAGAAGAGAACAACAUCACAUCGAAGGUAAAUUUAAUUACUUCGAAUAAUGCUACUCCUGAAACUCACAAAAAUACUUCUUUAAAGCCUAAGAAGAAAAAAUUCAAGAAAAAUAAUGGUAGACCUCCCAAGAAAAAUAAUGGUGAAAAUCACCAAGCACAAAAUCAACAAGUUCAAGAAAAGGGACCAUGCUUUGUUUGUGGCAAGAGUGGACAUAUUGCUCGAUUUUGCAGAUUCCGGAAACGUGGUCCUAACCCUCAGGCAAACGUUACCGAAGAACCUUUUGUGGCGGUGAUUACCGACAUAAACAUGGUUGAGAAUGUUGAUGGAUGGUGGGCUGAUUCUGGUGCAAACCGUCAUGUCUGUUAUGACAAAGACUGGUUUAAAAAAUAUACUCAUUUUGAGGAGCCCAAAACUAUAAUGCUUGGUGAUGCUCACACUACUCAAGUGCUUGGAAAUGGAGAUGUUGAAUUGUGUUUUACUUCUGGAAGGAUAUUAACAUUGAAAGAUGUACUUUAUACUCCUUCUAUGAGAAAAAAUUUGAUGUCUAGUUUUCUUCUUAAUAAAGCAGGCUUUAAACAAAUUAUUGAAUCUGAUCAAUAUGUAAUAGUGAAGAAAGGUAUUUUUGUGGGGAAGGGGCAUGCAUGUGAUGGGAUGUUUAAAUUGAAUGUUGAAAUGAAUAAAACUUCUACUUCUGUUUAUAUGCUUUUUCUACUAAUUUUUGGCAUGCUUGUUUGUGUCAUAUUAAUGAUCGUUAUGUUUGAAUCAUGAGUAGUUUAGGAUUAAUCCCAAUGGUUAAAAAGAAUUUUGAAAAGUGUGAGACUUUUAGUAAAGCCAAGAUCACUAAAAGGCCUCAUUUUCAAGUUGAAAGAAAAACUGAUUUGUUAGAAUUAGUUCAUACUGAUAUUUGUGAACUUGGUGGAAUUCUAACUCGUGGAGGUAAUAGAUAUUUUAUCACUUUCAUUGAUGAUUUUCUAAGUUUACAUAUGUUUACUUGAUGAAAAAUAAAAGUGAUGCUUUUGAAAAUUUCAAAACUUAUCUCAAUGAGGUUGAAAAUCAGUUUGGAAGAAAAAUAAAAAGAAUUAGAAGUGAUAGAGGCCGUGAAUAUGAAUCAAAUGAGUUUAAUUCUUUUGUUCGAUCAUUGAGAAUAAUUCAUGAAACUACUCCUCCUUACUCUCCUUCGUCUAAUGGAGUAGCAGAAAGGAAAAAUAGAACUUUAGUUGAAUUGACUAAUGGCAUGCUAAUUGAGUCGCAUGCACCUUUAAAUUUUUGGGGUGAAGCUAUCUUAACUGCUUGUUAUGUGUUGAAUCGUGUGCCUCAUAAAAAGUCUAAAUUGACACCUUUUGAAUUGUGGAAAGGUUACAAGCCAAGUUUGGGAUAUCUAAGAGUUUGGGGUUGUCUAGCCUUUGUGAGGCUAAUGGAUCCCAAGAUUACAAAGUUGGGUAAGAAAGUUACUACUUGUGCUUUUCUUGGUUAUGCUUCAAAUAGUAUAGCCUAUAGAUUUUUUAUUCUUGAAGAUAAUAUUGUAGUAGAAUCUGGUGAUGCUAUUUUUCAUGAAAAUAAAUUUCCUUUUGAUACUAAAAUAGUGGGGGUCAAAGGAUUGAACAAAAUAUUUUGUCACUACCUAGUUCUUCUACUUCAACUUUAAAAAAUAAAAAUGUUGUUGAUUUUGAGUUAAGAAGAAGUAAAAGAGCUAGAGUAGAAAAAGAUUUUGGUCCUGAUUUUUAUGUGUUUAAUGUUGAAAACGACCCUCUAACUUUGAAAGAAGCAUUAUCUUCACAUGAUUCUAUUUUUUGGAAAGAGGCUGUAAAUGAUGAAAUGGAAUCUCUAAUUUCUAAUAAAACUUGGAAGUUAGUUGAUUUACCACCGGGUUGUAAAACAAUUGGUUGCAAAUGGGUCUUAAGGAAAAAGUUGAAACCGGAUGGUUCUAUCGACAAAUACAAGGCUAGGCUAGUUGCAAAAGGUUUUAAACAACUAGAAGGCCUAGAAUUUUUUGAUACUUUUUCUCCGGUAACGAGAAUUACAUCCAUUAGACUUUUAGUUGCUAUGACUGCAAUUUUUGAUUUGCAAAUUCAUCAAAUGGAUGUAAAAACUACUUUUCUAAAUGGAGACCUAAAUGAAGAAAUUUAUAUGGACCAACCCGAGUGUUUUAUUGAAGCAGGCCAAGAAAGCAAAGUAUGUAAACUUACUAAAUCCCUAUAUGGCUUAAAACAGGCACCAAAGCAAUGGCAUGGAAAGUUUGAUUCCUACAUGAUUGAAAAUGGUUUUAAGACAAAUGAGUGUGAUAAAUGCAUAUAUCAUAAGUCUUGGAAUAAUUCACAUGUGAUCAUUUGCCUAUAUGUUGAUGACUUGUUGAUCUUUGGCUCUAACAUGAAUAUUAUUAAUGAAGCUAAAAAUGUUCUUAGAAGCCAUUUUGAUAUGAAAGAUCUUGGUGAGGCAAAUUUUAUUCUUGGAAUAAAAAUAACAAGAACAUGUGAGGGGAUUUUCCUUGACCAGUCACAUUAUGUUGAGAAAAUUUUGAAAAAAUAUAACUUUCAUGAUUGCAAGCAUGUUGCUACUCCUUUUGAUUCAAGUGUUCACUUAUUUCCUGUUGAAAGUGAAAAUGAUGUAAUAAAUCAAAAAGAAUAUGCUAGUAUAAUCGGAAGUUUGAGAUAUGUGACAGAUUGCACUAGGCCUAAUAUUGCAUAUGCAGUAGGAGUACUUGGCAGGUUUACAAGCAAGCCAGGUAAUGAACAUUGGCAUGCUAUAACAAGAGUUAUGAGAUAUUUAAUUGGAACGAAAAAUUGUGGUUUGUUCUAUAAAAAAUAUCCUGAUGUACUUGAAGGCUUUUGUGAUGCGGAUUGGAACACUUUGUCAGGUGAUUCCUGUUCUACAACUGGUUAUGUCUUUACUUUAGGUGGUGGUGCUGUUUGUUGGAGCUCAAAAAAGCAAACUAUAAUUUCCAACUCUACCAUGGAGGUUGAACUAAUUGCUUUUGCUUCAGCUAGUGAGGAAGCAAAUUGGUUAAGAGAUUUAUUGUUUCAAAUUCCUUAUUUUGAAAAAUCAAUUCCUCCUAUUCAUUGUGAUAGCAUCGCUGCAAUUGGUAGAGUUCAAAACCGUUAUAACAACGGUAAAUCCAGACCUAUAAGGAGGAAACACAGUAAUGUAAGAUCGUAUUUGACAAAUGGUACCAUUAAUGUUGAUUAUGUCAAAUCUUGUGAUAAUCUUGCAGAUCCUCUUACAAAGGCCUUAACAAGAGAAAAGGUUUGGAGCACAUCGAGGGGGAUGGGAUUGAAGCCUACAAAUUCUUGAGUCAUAUAUGAGGAAACCCAACCUGGGGACUAGAGAUCCUAUAACCAGGUUCAAAGGGAAAAACUAAUCAUAUGAUGACUUGUUGUGAAAAAUGCACAAUUUUUUCCCCCUCCCUAUGAUGUGAGUGCAUUAUUUUCUGUAGUUUGUGAAGGUUGAGUUGAUAAAACUCUUAAUGAAUAUCUGUAGCCCGUAUGGGUGGAGUGUUAAUCUUACAGGAGCACUCUCGACAGAUUUCACCUAUGUGAUGUGUGGAAGUAGGUCGCUUCCUAUGAGAAUGAGGCUUAUUCUCAAAUGCACUCAUGAAACCGGGAUAGUACAUGGCCAUAACGUGCUGGCUGUUAAAGCUCAUGUCAAAACCUUGAUUAUUAUGUGUGAGCAGUGAUAUUUUAUUUCCCUUAAGCAGUCAUAGUUCAAGUCUGAGACCACUACGACUCUGGAGUAAAAGUUACUGUUUCACUAAGUGGAGGUUCAAUGCAGAGCACACCUUCAUUAUGCACAGUAGUCUUCCUUCAGCUGAUAUACUCUCUUAUCUAAAUAUUAAAAUGAGUGGGAGAUUGUUAGGUUAUUAGCAUUUUAAUAUUAAUAUUUAACAUAUUAAAUUGCUUUAUUUUGGAGUUAUAAGAAUGGAUGACUUCUACAUCAUCCAUUAGCAUUGGUUAUCCAUCAAUGUAUUUCAUUCUUAAUUCCUUCAUUACUCCCUUUGUAACUUAUGUAACAUAUGUAACUCCUUUUGUAAUAUAUGUAACAUAUGUAACUCCCUUUGUAACAUAUGUAACUCCCAUUGUAACUUAUGUAACCUAUGUAACUCCCAUUGUAACCUAUGUAACUCCUAAGGCCAUUAUCUUCACUAUUUACUACCUCCAUUAUCUUCCUAUUCAUUGCUAGGAAGACUUCUUGUAGUAUAAAUAGUGGUAGUCUUCAUUUGGUUUUAGAGACACAAAAAAUUCAUAAGAGAAAACAAAGAGUGAAAGAGUUAGUCUAAAGAGAGUUCUUAUUAGUUGAAGGGAGGUGUUCUUUUUUUGUGGAGCUUUGGACUCAACUCUUGUCCAGAGUUGUUGAGUUAUACUUUGUAAAGGCUGUUGUAUCCUGGAGGGGACAAGUCAAAGAGGACUACUGCUGGACCGGUGAAAACAUUUGCUACAGUGGGCUUGAAUCUCCUUAAAGAAAGCGAGAUAUCCACGCCUCAGCCUGAAGAGAUUACUUUCUUCAUUUUAUUUUCAAUUGUAAUCUUGCAAUUUUAUUAUCUUGUAAGUUUUUUUUCACUAACAAUAAGUGUUUCAGUAAAUGAAAACUAAGUCAAUCAUGCAGAUUCAUGGAAGGAAAACUUAUUUGGAUGGUGCUUUUUAAUAAAUAAUUAUGGAUUUUAGCGAUAUUUUUUAUUAUUAUCAUUUAUAGCAAUAUUAUGUUAAAUAUGUAAUAUGUAUUAAAAGUGAAUUUUUAUAUAUAUAUAUAUAUAUAUAUAUAUAUAUAUAUAUAUAUAUAUAUAUAAAUGUAUAAAUGUGUAACAAAUAUAUUAUUCAUCAAUAAAACUUGUAUUAUAUGGGAAUGAUAAAUUGUUCUUUCUAUUAUGAAUUAAAAGUGUAUUAUAAAUAUAUUAAAAAUAAUUAAGUGAAAAAAUAUAUUAUUUACUAUAAAUGAUAAAUAUUUUUUAUUUAUUGUAUAUUUAUGUAAGUCUCCUUCACGACAAUCCUACUGGGAGUGCAUGAUCCGACUCAAUCAGGUGUUUCUUUUUUAAAAAAUCAUAUCGCAUUAAUAUUUUGAUUAUUGUUAUAAACAAAAUUAAUGAAUGUCCAUUAUACCCCUCUUAUGCCUAUAAAAGGCAUUGUAAUCUCUAUAGAAAAUACAUCAAAAAUAAGAAAGAUUCAAGCUUCCUAUUUUAUCUCUCUACUGUAUUCUUAUUUCCUUAAUAGCUAUUAGUUUAAUUUUAAUACUUAGUCUCUAUUUUAUAACAAUUAUUCUAUUAUGUAUGAUAAAAAUUAAAUUUUAUGAAAUUAUCUUAUCAAAUCAAUUUUCUUAUGUAUCAAUGUGGUUUCAUGUAUUUUUAACAUUUUUUAAAUCAAAAUAUUAUAAAACAAGUAAAGUUUGAACAUGAUUAUCAAGUAUAUAAUAUACUUCCUUAGGAUUUUAGAAAACACACUCGAGAUUUUUUGUUUUCUGUUUAAGAGAUAGUGAUGCAUCCCACGAGAGGAAAUAUAUGUCUAAUAUCUUAUUAAUUUAAGACGUGAUGCACUUAUUGUCUUGCAUUUGAUUUCAUCCUGGCCAAAAUUGAAAACUUUAAUGAAUAUAUCAUUGGAAUAUCUUAUAGUAUAUAUUAUUCCUCUUGAUAUGGAUUUUCUUAUGUCCUGGUAUAUUUAAGAGUAAAUUUUAGGUUUACCAAAUAUAAAAAUUAUAUUUGUAUAUUUGUAUGUUAUAGUUAUAAUUUAUAUAAUUAUGUUACAUAGCAAAUUUUAUAUUUUUUGUGACUAUUAACCUGUAUAUUCGAUAAAAAAUAUACAUAAAAAUCUAUAUUUAUACAUUUCGGUGUACAAACUAAAACAUAAUAGUUGUAUAUAAAUAAAAUUACUACAUAUAUAUGAUAUACAUGUAUACCGAAUGCGUCUAUCUAUAUAUUUCGUUAUAUAAAUAGGUCCCGCAAUUAAUUUUUAUACAAUACAUAUUACAUAUGUAUAUCCAAUGGGUCUAUCUAUAUAUUACAUUAUACAAAUAGGUCCUGCAAUUAAUUAUCAUACAAUACAUAUGUAUACCGAAUGAGUCUAUUUGUAUUUUUGAUGUACAAAUGGUCCUGCAGUUAAUUUCUAUACAACACAUAUGUAUAGCAAAUGAGUUUAUUUGUAUACUUCGGCAUACAAAUGAGACGACAAAAACAUGAAAUAUUUGCUAUGAACUACAAAUAAAAAUAACUAUGACUAUAAAAUUUAAUUUGAAUUAAUAAUUUAUUAUUUCAUACAUUUUCUCUUAAAUAAAAGGUUAUAUUAUAUAAGGUAGGGGUCGUGCCUAACCUUUUAAUUUGAUUUAAAAGAACAAAAACUAGACAAUAUAAGAAGAUUGAGUCUCUCCUUUGACUCGUAAAAGAAAUUAAUUGGGUAGGGGACUCUCCUUCAUUACCAAAUCUAAUGCAAACUUUAUUAGUAGCUUCUCUUUACUCAAUAUUCAUCGUUCCUUCUUUUAUUUUAACAAAGAUAACUUUUCAAAUUAAGAAUAUGUAUAAGCCCCUAACCUAUAAAUUACUACAAUAUUUAAUUUAGUUUAGUGGGUUAAUUAGUUUCACUAUUUGCAUUAUUUGUCCCCCAGUUUGUUUCAUUUUUAUUGGACACUGGUUGAGAGUAACAUUUUCGGCUAAGAGAGUUAACUCAUAAUAAUUACAAAUAAAUCUUCUCCGCCAUAUAUAUAUCCAUUAUACGAAAAAUGGAAGAGGUCAGAUUCCCAAAAUAUCAGUGAAAAAGAAACACUUCCAUCUUUCAUUUGUGUAUAGUACCCUAGUCAUUUUGUGUACGGUAUAUUGCUCCACACAAAAAACUCUCCCCUUUAAUUUUGUGCUCUUAUUCAUUUUUUGAUUGUAAAAUUAGGUUUUAGGCGUAACUCACACAUCAAAAGCUAGCUCAAAGGGAGGAGGAUUGGAUCGGAAUUCCUUAACUUGUCCUUCCACCACAGGGAAUUUAAGGUCAAAUGUUGUAAGAACAGGCUUGAACCCUUCGUUUGGGUUCGUUAAAAGUGGUUGGAGAGACUUCAAGUAGAAGUACGGAUGGACCAUAGAAAAGUGGAAGAGGAUUUUCUUUAAAAAGCAAGCCCUCUAAGGAGGACUGAGUAGCUUUGUAUAAAUGAGUAUAGUUAUGGUACACAUGAAUUUGAUAAAACAAUUGGUAUAUAUGAGAUAGAUCAGAUUUAGUAGCAAGACGAACUCGUAUGUAUAUAUUUCCAGUGAUAGUAACAUUGUUGUUUUCCAAUAUAAUGAUGUGUUGAUGGUUAUUGCUUCAGAUGGAGUUGGUAGUUGAGGAGCAGGAGCCAUAGUUGUUUUAAGGCAAAAGAGAUAUUGUUGAAAGGAGUAUGAUGAAGUUUUAAAUUAGUAACAGUAUAUUGUAUCGAAAGAUGAUAUUUCAAUGGUUAUUUGAACUAAACUGAAAUUAAACACUUAGAAUGAACACUAAAAUAGUAACUACUUCUUUGAGAGAUCUUCUCAUUGAUUGAGCUCAAAAGGCUAGUGAAUACAAGUAAUGGAGGUGGUAUUUAUAGACCACAUUCUGUAACUAACUUCUUCUAGCUAACUCAGCAUAGUUUGUUACAACUAACAUUGUACAAUGACUAAUCUACCCUUCAUCAGUUUAAUGACUUUUAACUGACUACUUAACUACUUCUUCACAUAUCUCAUCACUCCCCUUCACGUUAGGUGGGAUAAAAAUAUUUAACACACCUAACUUGGAUAAGAGAUAUUCAUAUUGAUGUCUGGACAACCCUUUAGUCAAUAUAUCAACAGGUUGUUCUUGUGUAUAAAUGUAGUUCACUUUAAUCAGCCCUUGUUGUAUCCUUUCCCUUAUGAAAUGACAGUCGAUUUUAAUAUGUUUUGUCCUCUCGUGAUAAAAUGGAUUUGUAGCAAUUUGUAUUGCUCCCUUACUUUCACUGAAUACCUGUUUUCGGUACUUGAACUUUAGCCUCUACUUCUUUAAGCAUUCCUACCAACCAUAUUAAUUCUGAGACUGUUGAAGCAAGAGUUCUGUACUCAACAUCAGCUGAGCUCUUGGAAACUGUGGUCUGCUUCUUUGCUUUCCAUGACACCAAGGAUUUUCUCAUUUAUCUAUAUAUCCUGAUACAGAUCUCUUGGUAAUAGCACAGGAACCCCAGUCUGCAUCACAGAAUGCAUCAAUUUCUUCAUUAGAUGAACUAGAAAAUAACAAUCCUUGUCCAGGUUCUUUUUUCAAGUAUCUAACUACUCUUAAUGCAGCAUUUAUAUGAGACUUCUUUGGUUGCUGAAGAAACUGACUUAAGCUUUGAGUACUGAAAGUUAUGUCUGGUCUUGUCAUGUUAAGAUACAAGAGUUUUCCAAUUAACUUUUGAUAUGCUUUAUGAUCUACUAGAGGAUCUUCAAUGGCUUCUUUGACUUUCAUGUGAUCAUCAAAUUGUCUUGAUGUUAGUUUAACAUAAACAUCAACAGGAGUUCCUGUAGGCUUGGCUGCUGAAAUGCCAAUAAAUGUCCAUGUUUCCUUUCAGUCACUCCAUUUUGCUAAGGUGUAUAAAGACAGGACCUUUGAUGAAUAAUUCCCAAAUCCUUGAACAUAGUAGUACAUACUGAAUUCACAAACUCAGUGCCAUUAUCACUUCUGAUUACUUUAACCUGUCUUCCAAACUGAGUGAUGACAUACUGCAGAAAUAUCUUCAAGCAUACUCAUACAUCAUAUUUGUGUUUGAGUAAGAAAAACCAAGUCAUUCUAGAAAAAUCAUCAACUAUUGUAAGAAAAUAUUAGUGUCCAUUAAACGUAGGAGUAUUAUUGAGACCCCAUAGAUUAACAUGAAUCAAGUCAAAACAAUUACAACUUUUGAUGCUACUAGAAGAAAAUGUGAGUCUAGUCUGUUUUGCACAAGGACAAACUAAACAUUUGGACAGUUUACAAAUGCUUUGAUUAUUCAUAUUAAAGAUUUUUGAGAGUACUAUAGAAGACACAUGCCCUAGUCAUUUAUGCCACAAAUCCAUAUUUGUGGGACCUUGAUUUAAUGUCAAGACAAUCUCCUUUUCACCUCUGUCAUGACUUUGAGUAUAUAAAGAACCAGCUUCUUUACCAACUUCCUUCACCUUCCCACUGGAAAGAUCCUGAAAAAUAUAGAAGUUAUGGAAGAAGGUGUCCAGCUCCUUGCUCAGUUUACUCACAGACAUAAAUUUAUACUUAAAUUCAGGCAGGUAGAAUACAUUAGAAAUGAUGUUUUUAUCAGACAAAACACAAGAUCCAACAUGAGUGACUUGCUCCAGUAUUAACAAUCCAUACUUUGUUAUUCUCAGAGACAAAUAAAGUUUUACCUGCAGUGUGAGCAGAAUUGCUAUGAUUGUAAUCAGCGGUGCUAGUGUUAGGUUCUGACUGCUGUUGAAGUCCUCUAAGAAUGUAAUCAUACUACUCCUUUGUGAAUGUGCAACCCUUCAAAAAUUGUUUGGCAUUCAUCUCAGCUUGACUUAGUGUAUUAGAAUGAUUUGAACGCGAAGAUCUCUUUUCGACUAGCAAGUUUACGUACCUAGGUCCUAAGUUUCUCAUUACUCGGUGAAGUCUGAUUUGAGCCCUAGUCAAACUGAUCUCUCCGGCGGGCGGAGGAUGGUCUCAUACUAGCAAUGUUUUGAUUGCGCCUAUCUGUCGUUGCCAAUGAAACGAUCACCAAGAGAAAGAGCUAACGAAUCUUCCGUAAUGCUUGCAAAGAAAUCAGAAGAAAGGCUUCUGCCCCUUGGCGACUCGGAACGAAUGAGAAGAAGUGAAUCAGAAAUGAACUUAUAUAAGAGCGCUUAUUCCGCUUCCUUCUACUCUUGAAAGGUGACACUUUCACGACGUUGGAUAAAUACCAUUUGAAGUUAAGGAGCUAACGUGAAAAACUAAACUGAUUCAAGUUAGCCCAACCAAAGGACUAAUCGAGCUACAAAUGAAAGAGUAAAGUGCAUUAUCUUCAUUCCACUUCCAAUUAAAUGUGUUACGCACAGUGACAUUUGCCAAUCUUGUUCCUGUUAGGAAUCAAUUUGAUAAAAAAUAUACAGCCACGAGCUCUCUCUCUUUCUUAUCCCGUCUCUUAAGGAAAAGCGCCACCAUGAUUAGUCUGCAAGCUAUCAGGUUUCCUAUUCCACUCUGGUGCACGGACAUUGGUGUUCAAACCAUAUGAAAAAUGAGCCUGACUUGAUUGAUAUUGCCAAGUAUUGUUGACUUUUGAAGAAGAACCUUGCACCUUUCUCUUGGACUUGAAAUCAGCUGGAUAACCAAUUACUCUAUAACAAGUCUCCAAACUGUGACGUUUAAAUUUGCAGACCUCACAUAUCAUAAAAGGAUUUUCUUAGAUCUCUGACUUACUCCUGGUGCGGUACCUACCUUUGAGUACAUACCUAUAGAAUCUAGACUAACAGAAUUCAAUUCCAUGUUACAAAUGUGUGAUACUACAACUCUUUGACUUUCAUCUCCAAUUAUCAUAGCAUAAGCAUGGUUAACAACAGGUAGGGGAUUCAUCAUCAAAAUUUGACUUCUAGCUUGAUGAUAGGAUUCAUUUAACUCCAUUAAGAACUGAUACAAUUUCUGUCUAUUUAGAUGAAUGACAAACUCCUUCGAUUUUGCACAAUUACAGCAAGGUGUGGGUACUACGAUCUCAACCUCAUCCCAGAAUGUGAGUUACCUGCUGCAAGGAAACAAUAUCUUUAUGAAGACUGUAGGUUCUAGAACUAUCUACUCUAUCGAACCUCUCUUUCAGAUCAUUCCAAACCUACAUAGCAGUGGAUGCUAAUGCAAUUCCACUAAGCAAACCUUUGGAUACUAAAUUCAUUAGCCAUUUUAAGACAAUAACAUUUGUUCUUUUCCAUGUCCCCACAGUUCUUCACCAAAAAACUUCUUUAUUACAGGAUUCAUUAAUCACACCUAGUUUAUUUUGUCCUAACAGUGAUUGUUAUACUCCAUAGAGUGUAAUUUUCAGUUCCAAGUAAUUGAAAUAAAAGGAGAUUAUAUCCACUUACAUCCGAUAGACUAAGAAACAAAGGAUGAUUAUAAUCAAUACCUAGGCUAGUCAUAAAACUAGGCAGAGCAGUUGAUGCACCUACAUGUUCUCCAUUGUUGCCAUUGUUAAAACCUUGAAUUGGAUCUUCUAAUUGAAACUUUGAAAAAUACUUGUAGCGGAAGAGAUUCAAUCUUCAAUUGAUUUUUGAUCACCAACUUAGUUCAGCUGAAGAACUGUUAGUUCGAUGAUGAUGCACAAUUGAUCUGAUGAUUUCAAAUCGAUUGCCUCUCAAAGUUAUACUGUGUAUAGCUCUGAUACCAUGAACUAAACUGAAAUAAAACACUUAGAAUGAACACUAAAACAGUAACUGCUUCUUUAGAGAGAGCUUCUCAUUGAUUGAGCUCAAAAGGCUAGUGAAUACAAGUAAUGGAGGUUGUAUUUAUAGACCACAUUCUGUAACUAACUUCUUCUAGCUAACUCAGCGUAGUUUGUUACAACUAACAUUGUACAAUGACUAAUCUAUCCUUCAUCAGUUUAAUGACUUUUAACUAACUACUUCUUCACAUAUCUCAUCAUUAUUUAUAGUGAAGAAUUUGUUGUUUUUUUUUGUAAUUCUUAUUUGGUUGGUGGAGUUCAACUCAAACAUGCGUGUUAUAUAAAAGAGUCGAAGCAUCUAAUGAAACUUCUUUUUUUUUUCCUAAAAGAUUUGGAGUGUGUUUGAUAUGAAGGAAAACAUUUUCUGGAAAAUGUUUCCAAUUUUCUCAUGUUUGGUUGGAACAAAAGUUUUGGAAAAUGUUUUUCAAAUCAACUCAUUUUCCUCAAAAUUAAGAAAAAUGACUUCCCUCCAAAAAAUAAGGAAAACAUUUUUCAAAACUCUCCUCCAAAUUUUAAAUUACAUUUUUUUGGGGGGAAAAACAACAAUUUAAAAAAAAAUAAUUUUAAAUUUUUAUUUUUAAACUCUCAACCCCUUCCCCCCUCCCCCGGCCAGGCCCCCACCCCCCACCCCCCAAAAAAAAUUAAUUUUACUUUUUAAAAAUACUAUAAAGUUCAAAUAUUUAUUUUUUUACCCCCACUCCCUACCCCCUCCCCCACCCCACCCUCACCACCCCCAAAUUAAAAUUAUUUUUAAAAAAUAUUUUCAAUUUCAUAAAUUAUUUUCUACACUUGUAAAAAUAAAAGAUAUCUCUCAAAAAUAUUUUUCAUUCAUAAAUCAAACACUAAAAAUCAUUUCCAAAAAAUAUUUUCUAUUCACCAACCAAACAUGAGAAAAUAAAUCUAAAAUCUUGUUAUUUUUCAGAAAAACAUUUUCUAAGAAAACAUUUUCCAUCGAAAACAUUUUCCUUCUUACCAAACACACCCUUGGUAGGAGCCGUAAACUAAAGUUGACCCAUUUUUCAAAUGUUAGUCAUAUUAUAAUGUAAAUGAACUUCUCUCUGUCUUUUUCCAUGUGUGGUGUAUACUGAUAUCGCAUCACAUAUGAUUAAAAAAAUAGUUUGACAAUUUUGAUUUUCAAUUUUUAAGAUAUUAUAUUCACAUCAAAUAAUUUAAUAUAAUUUAAUAAUUUAAAAUUUGAUUUUGCUUUUGCCAAGGAGAGAAUGCACUUACAGCCUCUCUCUCAUAUUCACCUGUCAAGACAUGACAUAGAUAGCAAAUAGUCAGCUCUCUUACCGUCAGUAUGAUAAAUUAUUAAUUAUAAUUUAUUUAAUUUAACUUACCUAUAAUAGAAAUAUACUUAAUUUCACGAUAUAUAAAAAUGCUAGUUAGAUUCUAUCAUACAUGUUAUUACAGUGGUAUUACUUGUAUUCAUUCUUUCUUAUAUUGCUCGUAUUAAUCAAAAUACGAAAUAUAAAUUUAUACAAGAUAGUAUACUGAUAUAACCAUUCGAAUGACAUAAUUGAUGCAAAGUAUCAUUUUUUUUUUGUAUUUAUUCCUUUAGUUGGCUAGGAUUUUAUUAAAAGGAAUCAGAUAAGCACUCGUUGUUUGUUAGUACCACGUCAACGUACAUUCAGUUAAAUAAAUUAUAUGACUUUACUAGUAUCAUAUAGUGAAAUACAGAAUACAAAAUAUAAUAGAGAGAGGGUAGAGUAUAUAUGUGACUGUUUGCUGUGAUUAAUUAUUUUUUUAAAAAUACAAUACGCCCUCUCAGUAUACAACAUAACUUUAUAUAUGUAUGUAUAUAUAGCAUUUACAUCGUAAUUUGUUAUGCCAUUUACAUCAUAGUUUGUGAGUUAAUGUCCUCCCAGCAUAUAAUUACAUAACACGUUAUACUUGUUACUGAUUCAGAAUUCAUUCUGGAGUUUACAAUGUCAAAUCAUAAACAUUAUAUUUUUUUUAUCGGAUGUCUUUACUAGAAAUUCUGAAUAUAGUCCCUCAGGCUCUUGAAGUAAAUUCACAUCAUUGAAAAUUUUAAAAAAAAUAUUUUUAAAAAAUGGUUGACUUCCCAAAUAAUGAUUGUGGCAGAUAAAAUUAAAUUAUAUCAGAGAGAUGAUAUAAUUAUGAUAAUAAUCAAUUUAAAAUUUCAAAAUACAAAUGUAAUACACACUGGUGAGUGAGCCUUGUGCUUUUAAAAAAAAAAAAAGUUUUGAUGAAAGUAAGUCACUAUUUAGAUGAAUUUAUUGAGAUAAUAUGUUUUUUUGAAAAUUUACAAAAUUAGAAUAAACUUAUUUGAUAGUAACAUUUUUGUAAAAGAGUUAAAUAAUUGCAUUAAUGUACAUUGAACAUGUAUUGAAACACAUAGUAGAUUAUAGUGUAGAUUACACACUAGAUUAUAAUUAGGAAGAGUUAGUUACAAAUUUGUUAGAAGUUAGUUACAAGUUUGUUAGUAAGUGGAUUGUAUAUAACUCAUGUAAUGUGUGGCAUUGUUGCUUAAUGCAGUUCUUCUUUCUCUCCCAACUAAAUUGCUUCUCUUCUACGUGUUCUUGAGCAGCUUCAGCUGAGAUUUGGCCAUGGAUUCUUGUUAGAAUCCACAGGCUUUACAUGGUAUCAGAGCAAGGGGUUCUGUAAUCUGUAGACAAAGGAAAUAGAGUUUUAAUUCGAUGGUUUCUACUGGAGAUUCAGCAGGGGAAAUCACAGGAACAUCAAUGGCAUCCACGACCAUUGAUCAUCUUCAUCCUUUAUACUUGCAUCCAUCUGAUUCACCAGGCUCACUCAACAUUGGAAUCAUGCUCACAGGAACAGAUAACUACACUUUGUGGAGCAAAGCAAUGCAGUUGGCUUUGCUUGGGAAGAACAAAGUAGGAUUCAUUGAUGGAACAGUGAAACGAGAUCAAUUUUCAGGGAGUUUGGCUCAACUGUGGGAUCGAUGUAAUGCCAUUAUUGUUUCAUGGAUUCUGUGCAAUGUGAGUAAAGAUCUACACAGUGGUGUUCUUUUCUGUUCAGAUACACAUUUGAUUUGGGGAGAUCUAAGAGAAAGGUUCAACAAGAUCAACAGUUCUCGUGUGUUUCAGCUACACAAGGAGAUCUUCACACUUGUUCAAGGUGUGUCUUCUAUCUCAGUAUACUAUUCAAGACUCAAAGAUCUUUGGGAUGAAUAUGAUAGCAUCAUGCCACCACCAGCUUGUAAUUGUCCUAAAUCUAAGGAGUUUUUUGAGCAUCUUCAAUAUCAGAGGAUGUUGCAGUUCCUUAUGGGACUUAAUGAUGGUUAUGCUCAAGCUCGCAGCCAAAUUCUGUUGAUGCAUCAACUUCCUAGCAUUAAUCAGGUUUAUGCCAUGAUAAGUCAAGAUGAAAGUCAAAAACUAGCAGCAAACUUAAGUAGAUCAAUGCCAGAAAGUUCAAAUUCAAAUCCUACUGCAAUGUAUACAUCAAGGUCUAGUUCGAGGAAUAGGAAGCCAUACAAUCCUAAUGUUUUCUGUGAAUAUUGUCACAUGAAGGGACAUAUGAGAAGUGAUUGCAACAAAUUAUUGAAGUGUGAUCAUUGUCACAAAACUGGCCAUGUAAAACUUGAUUGUUUCAAGCUUAUUGGAUAUCCUACAGAGUUCAAAGGAAAGAGAGAUUCAGUUGUUGCAGGGAACCUAGUCUAUGAAGAAUCAUCAAUCCAUCAUCAUGCUCCACAACUUACUCAAAAGGAGUUUCAUCAAGCUGCAGCAUCUGAGACAAUGCCAAUGCCAAUGUUUACACCACAACAACAUCAGAAACUUAUUCAAAUGUUGAAUCAAACAACAGUUGGUGAUACACAUUGUGCAGCUAAUAUGGCAGGUAACUCUUACUUAUCUAAGGAUGCUUCAAUACAGUGGGUUGUUGAUACUGGUGCUACUCAUCACAUGAUAAAUGAUGCUAAGCAUUUACAUUGUGAAAGAAUGAUAGAAAAUGCAGGUAGUGUCAGUUGCCUACUGGAGAGUCUGCAAAGGUUUCUCAUAUUGGAAGUUGUCCUAUAGAAAAAGGUGACAUGCUUAAACAAGUGUUAUGCAUUCCAGACUUCAAAUUCAAUCUUAUGUCUGUUUCAAAAGUGACAAAAGAUUUGAAUUGUUGUGUCACCUUCUUUCCUCAUUACUGUGUUUUUCAGGACCUCUCAUCUGGGAAGGUGAGGGUGACUGGUAAAGAAAAGGAUGGAUUAUACAUGGUAGAUACACAAGUAGAAGAUAUGCCUCAGAGAUGUUUAACAGCAAUACAAGAUGCUGAAGAUAAGGCUACUGUUUGGCACCAAAGAUUAUGUUAUGUGCCUAUGAGUGUAAUCAGGAAGAUUCCCAUUUUCAAUAAGUUUGGUAGUAAAUUUGCAUUACAUAAUUGUGAAAUUUGUCCACUUGCUAGACAAACUAGACUGCCUUUUCCUAACAGUACUAGUAGAUCAACAAGUAUUUUCCAGCUGGUUCACUUAGAUGUUUGGGGACCUUAUAGAGUUGAAACUUUUGAUGGUAUGAGAUAUUUUCUUACUGUUGUUGAUGACUAUUCUAGAUGGACAUGGAUUUUUCUAAUGAGAUUGAAAUCAGAUGUUGUUAGUUUGUUAAAACAUUUCUUUACAGAAGUUGAAACUCAGUUUGGAAAAAGGAUUCAGAAGAUAAGGUCAGACAAUGGUUCUGAAUUUUUCAACUACAAUUGCAAUGAGCUUUUCAAGUUAUAUGGUAUUAUCCAUGAAAGUUCUUGUCCAUAUACACCUCAACAGAAUGGUGUAGUGGAAAGAAAACAUAGACACAUUCUAGAGACAGCAAGAGCUAUUAAGUUUCAAGCUGGUUUUCCAGAUAGAUUUUGGGGUUUGUGUGUUCAAGCUGCAGUAUAUGUGAUCAACAGAGUACCUUCUACUAGUUUGAAUGGUGUGUCAUCUUUUGAGAAACUAUACAAUAAGCCUCCUUCAAUUGAUCACUUAAGAGUGAUAGGUUGCUUAUGUUUUGCUACUAAUCUUACUAAACAAGACAAGUUUAGUCCUAGGGCUCUAAAGUCUGUCCUGAUGGGGUAUGAACCUACACAAAAGGGAUACAAAUUAUACAAUUUGGAGAGCAAAACAUUCUUUGUUAAUAGGGAUGUAGUUUUUGUUGAAUCAGUGUUUCCUUUCAAAGACAAUACUACAUCUUCAUCUAAUACUAUAUCCAGUGCAGACUUAUUCAAUUAUGAUGAAUUGAUCACUAUAGUGCCACAAUCCUCUAUACCUCCUUCUUGUUCAGAUAAUGCUGCUCCACAAAUGUCAUCUUAUCAGGAUGAUCCUCCACUAAGAAAAUCAGCUAGAAGCAUUAAACCUCCAAUUUGGCAUAAGGAUUACAUUACUACAAAUGGGACCAACAAAUGUCUGUAUUCAAUAGCUUCAGUGCUAGACUACUCUGGGUUGUCCAACAAAUACCAAAGUUUUGUUUCAAAAUUCUCAGUUGAGAAUGAACCAGCUACCUAUGCAGAGGCCAUACAAGAUGCUAGAUGGGUGGAUGCAAUGCAGAGUGAAAUAAAAGCUCUAGAGGAUAACCAGACUUGGGAACUAGUAGACUUGCCAAAGAACAAGAAAGCCAUUGGCUGUAGAUGGGUGUAUAAGGUGAAGUAUAAUUCAGAUGGUGGUGUGGAAAGAUUCAAGGCAAGAUUGGUGGCUAAAGGCUAUAAUCAAAAGGAAGGAUUUGAUUACCAAGAGACAUUCUCACCAGUAGUCAAAAUGACUACUGUAAGGUCUGUUAUUUCAAUUGCAGCUGCUAAGCAUUGGCACAUUCAUCAAAUGGAUGUGUACAAUGCCUUUCUACAAGGAGAUUUGUAUGAAGAGGUAUAUAUGACAUUGCCUCAAGGUUUUAGUAGAAGGAACAACGACAGGACUGGAAACAAUCAAGUAUGUAGAUUACUAAAGUCACUCUAUGGCCUGAAACAAGCAUCAAGACAGUGGAACAUCAAGCUUACACACACCUUAAUUGAAUCUGGAUUUCAUCAAAGCACACGAGAUUAUUCUUUGUUCACGAAGAGGAAACAAGACAAGAUAAUGAUAGUUCUUAUAUAUGUAGAUGAUCUGUUAUUGACAGGCAAUGAUUCAGUGAUGAUUCAACAAACUAAGGAGAUGCUACAACAGUCUUUCAAGAUCAAAGAUUUGGGAGAGCUAAGAUACUUUCUUGGGCUGGAAUUUGCUAGGAGUGAUGCUGGAAUUCUGAUACACCAGAGGAAGUAUGCUUUAGAACUCAUAUCAGACAUGGGGUUGGCAGGUGCCAAACCAGUCUCAACUCCAAUGGAAUUAAAUCAAAAGCUUACUACAGUUGAGUUUGAUGCUAACAUCCCAUCUACAUGUCCAGAUGAAACAUUAAAAGAUCCUACAGGCUAUCAAAGGUUAAUUGGGAGGCUGUUGUAUCUCACAACUACUAGACCUGAUAUAUCAUUUGCUGUACAAUGUUUGAGUCAGUUUAUGCACUCUCCAAAGACUUCACAUAUGGAGGCUGCAAUGAGAUUAGUUAGAUAUGUGAAAUCAGCACCAGGACUUGGUAUUUUGAUGGCAUCAACAGGGGGGAGUGAAUUAAAGGUGUUUUGUGAUGCUGAUUGGGGUGCAUGCAUUAAUAGUAGAAGAUCAAUUACAGGAUACUUGGUACAAUAUGGAGGUUCACCUAUAUCCUGGAAAUCUAAGAAACAAGUGACAGUGUCUAGGAGUUCAGCAGAGGCAGAAUAUAGAGCAAUGGCAUCUACAGUUUCUGAGGUUGUUUGGAUUGUUGGUUUAUUUGAUGAACUUGGCGUCAAGAUUAACCUUCCUGUGUUAUUGCAUUCAGACAGCACUUCUGCAAUUCAAAUAGCAGCUAAUCCAGUGUUCCAUGAGAGAACAAAACACAUAGAUAUAGACUGCCAUUUCGUGAGAGAAAAGAUACAAGAAGGAUUGGUUGUCACAACAUAUUUGAAGUCAUCUGAACAGCCUGCAGACAUAUUCACUAAGACCCUUGGACGAGAUUCUCAUACACAUCUUGUAUCCAAGCUAGGAAUGAAGAACAUCUUCAUAGCUCCUAGCUUGAGGGAGGGUGUAAAAGAGUUAAAUAAUUGCAUUAAUGUACAUUGAACAUGUAUUGAAACACAUAGUAGAUUAUAGUGUAGAUUACACACUAGAUUAUAAUUAGGAAGAGUUAGUUACAAAUUUGUUAGAAGUUAGUUACAAGUUUGUUAGUAAGUGGAUUGUAUAUAACUCAUGUAAUGUGUGGCAUUGUUGCUUAAUGCAGUUCUUCUUUCUCUCCCAACUAAAUUGCUUCUCUUCUACGUGUUCUUGAGCAGCUUCAGCUGAGAUUUGGCCAUGGAUUCUUGUUAGAAUCCACAGGCUUUACAAUUUUAGGUAUUAUUUUAUUUAAAAAUAAUCAAUGACAAAAAGACAAAAUUCUAAUGGAUUAAAACGUUACUGUCAAAUACGUUUUAUGGAUUCGUUUUAAGGCUAAAACGCUACCGAGAAUAACGACUCUUUAGAUCCAAUUUACUCCGUUAGUUAUUGUCACCACACUCUUGUUAAAUCUCUAGUAUUCAGGAAGAACUUAAUUCAUUUUUCCAAGCGCCUCUUUCUUGUUAAUUUUUGAAUUUUUAUCUAUUUGAAAUUGAGGAUUCAUCUUAAAUAGUGAGGAUGUCCAUCUUGAAGUGGAACGAGAACGUUUGAUUCUAAACCUGUUGUGAAAAGAAAUUAGCUGGAAUAUUACUGAAUGAAUCUUCGACAAAUUUCAAUACUCAUCACUAUGUAAUGAAAAAGCAUAAAGAAUUUGGUACUAGAAACAGUCAUGUCUCAACACACAACACCCAAAAAGUUUCUACCUAAUAUCAAUUUAAGCUUUAAGAUUGAAUUGAUGUGGUGAACUCAACAUGGUAUAUACAUAAAAAUAUACUUUUAUUUGAUUGUAUUUUAAGUAUGGUUGAAUAAAGGAGUGGGGAAAUUCUUAGGGAAACGCAAGGUUGCCUUUUGAAGUCGUUGUCGGAAUUGGAAAGAAGAAAAAAUUGUCAUUAGGGAAAUCGAGAACAGCAUCGUGUACACACUCAGUAAUGUUUCUGCUUAAAUAUUCGUUACUGUCUUAUUAGCCUUAAAAUGUGAUCGUAAGUAACGUAUUAAUAAAACAUACUUUUAACGUUUUACUCUAUCAGAAUUUUGUAUUCUUGUUAUUGAUUAUUUUUUAAUAAAAUAUUACUUAAAAUGUUACAACCAAAUAAGUUUAUUCUAAUUUUGUAAAAAAAAUUUAAAAAACAAAUUACUUUAGUGAAUUAAUUUAAAUAGUGACUUAUUUUGAUAAAAAAAUUCAAAAAUAAAAAAUUACAAAUACAAUAUAAUAAAUUGCACCUUCAAUAUGUAGGGGUAUUAACUUUCAGUUGCCUACAUUUUUAUCAGCAUACAUUUUAAUAUUUUCACCAUGCAACUUCCCAUACCUAAACUCAUCAAAUAUUUCAAGCCCCAUAUUUAUGUAAAGAUCAUAUGCCUUCUUAUUCCAAACUGCUACUAUUUCCUCUACCGAUACGAAUCCAUUGUUGGCAGCAAUGGAUGCAACUGUUCCAAACAACAAUUUCCCCAUUCCCAAGUUUCUAUAACUUUCUCUUAAGUAAAGACUCUCCAAAUAUAACCCGGGCUUGUCAUUGAAGCAUGAAUAAUUCGCGUAAAAGAAAGCAUAUCCCGCGAUGUAAGCAUCACUCUUAUCAUCAUAUUUGGAUCUGAAUUCCUCAACUUCUCCUUCCACCACAGGGAAUUUAAGGUCGAAAGUUGUAAGGACAGGUUUAAACCCUUCGUUUGUGGGUUCUUUAAAAGGGGUUUGAGAGACUUCAAGUAGAAGUACGGAUGGCCCAUAGAAAAGUGGAAGAGGAUUUUCUUUAAAGAGCAAGUUGGCUAAGGAAGACUCAGAAGCUCUGUAUAAAUGAAUAUAGUUAUGGUAUUCAUGAAUUUGGUAAAAUAAUUUGUAAAUAUGGGACAGAUUAGAUUUCGUAGCAAGACGAACUCGUGUGUAUAUCUUUCCAGUGAUGGUAACGUCCGAUGAUGCAUCGCUGGUUAUUGAUUCAGAUGGAAUUGGUUGUUGAAGAGAAGGAGUCAUGGUCGUGUGGUGAAUUAGAUGAAAUAUUAAGGCAAAGGAUUAGGGUGACGGUUUUUUUGUAAUGGGAUACUAUUGAGUGGAAAGAUAAUAGUAAUGGUUAUUUAUAGUGGAGAUUUCGUCCCCUUCGUAAUUAUUUAUUUGGUUGCUGGAGAUCAACUCAAAUGUGCAUGUUAUAUAUCUUCUUUUUUUUUAAAAAAAAAUAUAAUUUAUGGUGUGCUUUAGAUUGUUUUGCAACGAAAGAUAGUAGGCAGCUUCACGAACAAGUCAUAGUGGACUACAUCAACAUCUUUGCUUAAGUAAAGCUAUUCAUUCUUCAGUACAAUUUUCACGUGGAAGAAGAAAAUUGAGUUAUAAUUUCUUGAAUUUUUAACCAAAUUAAGUAAUUAUAUAAAACAAUUUACCAAAAUAAUACAUUUUUCUAAAAUUUUACAAAACUAGCAUAAACGUAUUUCACGGUAACGUUUUAGGGUAUAUUUAAUUUUUAGAAAACUAACAGCAUUAGGUUGAUAUACGUUACUGUAAGUAACGUUUUACUCCUAAAACGUUAUUUUCAGUAACGUUUUACUCCUAAAACGUUACUGUGAGUAACAUAUAUCAAUCUGACGCCAUCAACUUUUAAAAAAUAAAAUAUAUCCUAAAACAUUACUGGGGAAUACGUUUAUACUAGUUUUGUAAAAUUUUAGAAAAACAUAUUAUUUUGGUGAAUGGCUUUAUAUAAUGGCUUAGUUUGGUUAAAACCUCUAAUUUCUUUGUCUCCUGUGGGUAACUCAUACUUAAGUGGCACAUGACAUGUCGAUUAGUUUGACAAGUUUUUCUCCAAAGGAUUUGACAUGAUGCGUAACUUUUUUACAUUUUUAAAAUGAGUUUAACUAAUAUAUCUACAAUUUGGUUAUAUCAGAGACGAACUCGUGUAUGUAUCUUUCCAGUGAUGGUAACGUUGUUGUUUUCGAUUGAUGCAUCGGUGAUAAUUAUUUCAGAUGAAGUAGGAAGUUGAAGAGCAGGAGCCAUGGGAUAUUGUUUAGUUAAGUAGGAAAGGAAUAUUCAGGUUUAUGAUAAAAGAAAUGUGGAAAAGUUUAGUAAUGAGAUAUUGUGUGUAAAUACUUCAAGAUCAUAAUUAUUUAUAAGUGAAAUUUUUUUACCCUUUUUAAAGUUUGGAAUUUGCUCCGAUUAUAAUUUAUCUCCGUUCCAUAAGUACACGUCUAUGAAAAAGUCUUAAUUAUUCAAAUUUUGAAAGGUUAAGAUUAUAUUAUACUAUCACAAUUAUAAUUAAGUCAACUAAUUAUAAGGGGGAAAAAAUUACUUUCCAAAUUUAGUAAAAACAUAAUGUUUCCUACAAAUUUUAGUAUCCAUUAAUUAUCGAACUACCCAGGGAGAGUUUAAUUUCAUAUAUGUUUUAGCCUUUUAAGUGAGAUUGAUGUCGUGAUGUAUUUUGGAUGAUAUUUUUGAGUAUUUCAUCAAAACUGGGCCACCAAUUUUUAUGUAGUUGAUCGUAAUUAACUGUUCUUGUUUUAUGACAUCUUAUUAUUUUUAGUUAGUCCAAAAAAACAUCACAUAGAACAACUUAAUAAUAAUAUUACCAAUAUUUCAUUUAUUUGGCAAAAAGUGUAACUUGUAAAGUCAUCUCUUAUUUCUUAAAUUAUAUUCAUUAUUUAAUUAAAUUACAUCACAUAAAUUAAGACGAAGAAAAUAUUCUUUAAUAAUAAUUAAAACAAAAUUGGACCAAAAAACCCCUAUUUGUUAGUACUGCUGGAAUUUAAAACUUUCGAAUAUGGAACUACAAAAAUAACAAUAUAAACAUACUGAAAAUUUAAUAAAAUUUCAAAUUUCAGUUACGAUUCAUAAUAUUCAACCUUCUAUAGUCCAUUUAAUUUAAGUUAUAUAGAGAAGAAACAAAUGGGUUCAUAGGACCACACAAAAUAUCAUAAACAUGAUACAUAAACAUUGUAGGAACAAACUGACAAUUUCUUAACAUAAAAAUGUUGACUUUUCAUCAACUUCUUAUCGUACACACUACAAAUGUUAACAUCUACCAAGGAACCAAUAAUUCAUCCAAAAUAAAAUGUUGACAAUUUUAGCAAUAUGGUUAAAAAAUUCUAUGGAUAACAUAAAUGUGACUUUGAGAUUAUAGUCAAAUAAUCAAGUCAUUAACAUUGAGGAACAUGCUCUAAAGAAAAAUAAACUUCUUUUUUUCCAUGAAACAUGUGUUUUCGUAAAUGGAAAUUAAGUCAAUCACGCAAAUAAUCCAUGUAACGUGUAUUUCCGUUAAUGGAAAUUAAGUUCAUCACGCAUAUUUGUUGAAUAAUGAUAUUACUUGUUGGGUUUUUUAUAGUACCGUUCAAUCUCAAAAGUUCUUAUCAUAUUAAGUUUUUUAUUAUUUUAUUUUGUAUGAUAAAAGCUAGACUUUGUGAAAUCGCAUCGAUUUUUUUUAAUUUCGUUCACUAAUGAUCGGUAUAAUUUUUUUAUAAAAAAAGAUUUUUAAAAAAUAAAACGCUCUAGCUUUUUAACUAUUUAACACGUGGCGAAUUUUAAAAAUAAUAAUAAUAAUGAUGCACCACCGGAAAAAUAUUACUAUAUCAAAAAUGAUCAUUAGCGAUUCUUAAUUACUGUAAAAUAUGUAUUUUUAGUGGCAGUUAGUUCUCUUUGUAUAUAUUUCUAAAGCCUUUUACGACAUUGGUUCUACUAACACUAGACUAAUGUCGAUAAAUACGUUAGCACUCUUUAUUAAUGUCAAUAUCUAAUAUCGCGAAAUGAUAUUUUUAUUGUGUAAUAUAUAUUCCUAAUAUCUUAGAACUUUCUAUUUAAGAUCGUUAAUAACUUAUAACUACUAAAGAUGUGACGCAACAUACAGUGAUUUCAUCCUUCUAAUAAGUCCCAAAAUGAAAACUUUAAUAUAAUGCAUUAUUGGAUAUUAUUCCUCCGGUCAAUUUGUUUAGCACAAAUCUGAUUUGUCAUGACAAUAAACAUUGGAUACUAGAUAUAGUAUAAAGUUUAAUAGUAAGAAUUAUCCAUAAAACACGUGUUUCUGUAAAUGGAAAUUAAGUUAAUCACGUAAAUUUGUUGAAUAUUUUAAAACAACGGUGAUCCUAGUACAAGUGUCUACGAUAGGAUUCAAUUAGUUAAUUAUUUUCUUACAAUUUAUAUUGUAUAAAUUUAUGAUUAUUUUUAUUUUUUAUUAUAAAAAGAAUUUUUUAUUAAAUCGUCACAUCAUAUCCAUUUUUUUUUUAAUAUUAUGGGGUAUUAAUUUUUUAAAACAUCACGUACCUACACAGAAUGCGCUGUACUUACUUUUAGUAGUGGAUUUUCACCCCGGCCCCACACUCCUAAAAGACUUGUCAAACUAAACAAUAUGCCACUUGCCACGUACAAAGUGAUUAGGAUGCAGGGGAUUACCAAAUCUAAUGCAUACUAAAAUAUAUUUUUUAAAUAAUUUUUUUUUUAAUUUUCAAAAAAAUAUAUAUUCUUAAACUUAAAACUCUUCGCUCUAUGUUCGUUUGUUUUUUUUUUUUUUAAUUUUAAAAAAACAAAGAUAAUUUUUAAGUUUUUAUAAAACUGUUGAAUUAAGGUGUUUUAGUUAUUCUACGAAAAGAAUUGUUUAUAAAUAUUCUUUUAUCAAAUAAAACAAUUGUUUAUUAGUCGUUUUACCAUUUCUAUGCAAACAUGUUUAGUUAUAAGAUCCACUUUAUCACUUAAAAAAUGAUUUUUAACAUUUUUUUAUUUAAGAGAUAAUGCAUGAGUAUUCCUCAAACUAUGUCUGAAAUUUCAGAGAUACAUUUAUAUUAUACUAAGGUCUUAUUAUCCCUGAACUUAUUUUAUUAAUAAUUUUUACUUCUUUUCGACCUACGUGGCACUAUCUUGUGGGCCAAAUAAUGAUUGACUUUUUUAUUCAAUCUAGUGUCACGUAGGUCGAAAAGGGGUAGAAAAUUACUUAUAAAAUAAGUUAAGGGGUUAAUAGGAUUUUAGUAUAUUAUAAGUGCGUCUCUGAAAUUUCGAGCAUAGAUUGAAGGGUUACUCGCACAUUUUUCCUUUAUUUAAUAAUACAAGAGAUCAUCUUUGCCAUUUUUGUUUUAUAGAAAGAUAUAAAUUUUUAUGAUAAAGUUUAAAAACAUUGAAUCCAGGGAUUUAAAAUAAUAUAAGAUAAGUACCAAUUUAUUUAUUUUUCAAAUUACAAAUACAAUGAGCGUUCUGCUUUUACAAUAUUAAACAUAGAAAUUAAUAAAUUGCGCAAUAUAGUACACAAAAAACCAUAUUAGCUAACAGCUCCCUUUCGCCGUUUUUGUCCUAGUUAUGAGCAUACUUUUGAAGAUUUUCACCAUGCAACUUUCCAUACCUAAAUUCAUCAAAUAUUUCAACUCCCAUAUUUACGUAAAAAUCAUAUGACUUUUUGUUCCAAACUGCUACUAUUCCCUCUACCGAUACAAACCCAUUGUUGGCAGCAAUAGAUGCAACUGUCCCAAACAACAAACUCCCCAUUCCUAACUUUCUAUAACUCUCUCUGAAGUAAAGACUCUCGAAAUAAAAUCCAGGCUUGUCAUAAAAGCAUGAAUAAUUCGCGUAAAAGAAAGCAUAUCCUGCGAUGUAAACAUCACUCUUAUCAUCAUAUUUGGAUCGGAAUUCCUCAACUUCUCCUUCUACGACUGGGAAUUUAAGGUCAAACGUUGUAAGGACAGGCUUGAACCCUUCGUCUGUAGUAUUUUUAGGUUCGUCAAAAGGGGUUGGAGAGACUUCAAGUAGAAG